GAUGCCACACACUCAGAUGUGUGUUCAUCUCCAGAUACUACUCCAUGCUACCUGCCCUUUGUGUUUUGUUCAAUAACUGGGUAUCAUAUCCCAGCCAGUAUGCCGUCUGUUUUGUGUUUGUUUCCUUCUAGUUCCAAAGGGGUCAUCAUGAUGUUACCUUCUUUCAAUAUGGUGCUUUGCAUGACUACUGUUGUAUGGUACCAUCUUGUGGCCAAUAAGUACAUCUUAUCCUAUGACCUUUGCUAUGACCCUUUGCAAAUAAGUAGAAGAUUGUUAUAAGCGUCAAUACUCCGUAUAAAUUGAUCGCUGCUGUGAGUUCCCUUUCAGCUUAUCGUAGGCAUACAUUAUUGCUAGCACGGUAAAGCCAACCAACACGAAUGAUGAAGUAAACGUAGCGGUACUUCUGUAUACCAACACCCUUACUUAAAUGUACCGGUGUCAUUCCCUACUGGCACAUAUAUUCUUAUAUGCUAGCCAGCUUGUAAAAUUAACCAAUUAAAAUAAUUAUUUCAAGAUAGAAAUAACUUAUCGGUUUCUGGAAGCAUGUGUAAUGUGAAUUCAAGGACUCGACGGAAGUUGAAUCACUUCAUCUAUAUUGCUUUCAGUAUUUUGGGUAACUAAAUUUAACAUUUGCACAUACAAAUGUUAAAGUACAAAUGUUAAAUCUAGUUACCCAAGCAGAAUAUGAAGAUAGUUUAUAGUAUAUAUAUACUAUAUAAAUCUAGUUAACAUUUAGUCUAAAUGUUAAAUCUAGUUACCUAAAAUCCUGAAAGCAAAAUGUAUAAAUAUAUAUCUUUUAAGGCAGUAUAAGCUUCGAUUCCUAUUGCUGCUCUGUUAAAUCUCAUCUUUCGUUGUGGCCCAACACUCUAGUAUGCAUGUUGCACCAAGCUUCUUUGAGCCGCUCUGCCCUCUGAUUUUGCUGCGUAGGGGAAUCUUUAUCAGGUUGGGCUACUUCCAGUUGUGCGAUGUAAAGAUUCGUAUUUUCUAGAAGGUAGACAAAAAACUCGCGUUCUCUUAAGGCAACAACCGGAAGAUUCUGCAGCGCACAGGGCAUACCAUUAUUGUAGAAACGACCUUUAGUACCGAUCUCCAACCCCCUUUAAAACUGGUUUUGCAACCGGUACCGUUAUGUCGGUCCUUUAGUACCAGAUCAAAUAAGUACCGGUUGGUAACCAGUAUCAACUUGUUUUGCGGCCAAAAAAAUAAAGAAAAAAACAGUCAGAAGGCUCGCGCACACGCGCAUCACAUGAAAUAUGCGUGUGCGGGGUCCAUGGGAUUCGAACCCAUGAAAUCAAGCUGCGCGCGACCCUUCGUUACCAUCUCACCUACAUAGCGCAUAUGCUUUCCUGAAGUAACCCGUGGAGGAGGCUUUAGUACCGGGUCAUAACACCACCCGGUACUAAAAAUGACUCUUCAGUACCGGGUCAUAACACCACCCGAUACUAGUAUCGGAUGGUGUAAUGACCCGAUACUAAAAGGCCUCUAGGGACCCUCAAAUUUGAACCCGGUACUAAUGCUAAUAUUAGUAGCGGGUCAAAGUGCAGCCAGAACUAAAGCAUGGGAUGAAAGGUCAUAUUUCUAGUAGUGUAUAGUUGUUGUGAAGGACUGACUUGGCUGUCCUCUCUCUUCUCCAUCCCCUUGGUCUUACGCCGCCGCUCGCACGCGAGCCGGUGCCCAACCAGAGGAGUGAGAGCUAGGGGCAGGUUGGGAGGUGGGGAUAGUGACUGGUGGCCAGGGUGAUGGUUGAUCCUGGUGGGGUUAGGGUUUUAGGGUUUUCGAGCUUCCUAUGGUCGGCGAACCUAGAGGAGGAGCUCAACAUCAGCUGCAACCCGCGAUGGUGGUGGUUUGGCCGGCGCCCGAGGCGAGGCAGCGCGGGAGUGCUGCCGGUGGGUUGGUGUUGGCACUCAUUAUUGACAACUAUUUUGUUCAUAAAAUAACACUCAAACUUGCUGCUGCUGCUGCUGCUGCCAUCGCCACCCUAGCCAUAAUAUAAAGGCAAAAUUUGCUAAAGGACAUGCAAAAUGAUGCUAGUUUGCUGGCGGGCAUCGUUGACCUUGUAAUAUGCUACAAGACACUCUAGUUGUGUAUCAAUUUGCUGAAAGACAUUGCUAUGACUAAAAUAAUGUUUCUGGACUGAGUUGGAGAGAGAGAUGGAGUGAAAUGUCUGUUUUGCCCAUGACCCCACUGGUCAGAUCCUUCUUCUUCCACCCUCCUUUGUUCUUUCUUCAACCAUUACCCAGCUCCAGCGUGUUGCAGAUCUACGAGGGUGGCGGCCUGGGGCGAGGGGCAUCGCUCGCCCUUGGAGGAGCGCUGCGAGCGACGGCGCGGGGGCGGCAACAGCGCGUCAGAACCUGACUGUUCGUUAGCUCCUCUCGCUGCUGGGGAAGGAGGGGGAUGGGCCAUGGACGGGGUUCCCUUGAAAACCUCAGCGUCGAGCUCGGGCGGCUACGCGCAGGCAGCACUAGGCUGCUUCACGGGGAGGGGGCGCGGCCAAUCAUUGGCACCCCACUGGUCCAAUGCUGAUGAAGAUGGUGCCAGCGUCGUGUGAGGACAUCUCAUCUCCUCGAGUUCCAUGGCCAGCACAGGUGAGCUGCCGCUACCACAAAACAGAGGUUUCGUGAGAGUCAAAAAACCUUAUGAAAAUAGCUAAAACCAUCAUGAAAAUAAUCCGUGACAUGACACUCUCACGAAAAUCCUCUCACAAAUAUGGUGCCAUGAAAAUACCAUUUUCAUGAGAGUGAACUGUCAUGAUUUUAUUUCGUGAGAGUAUUUCCUAUCAAUGACCUCCACGAAAUACUUUGUGCCACCAGGUCUUCAAGAUCAUUUUCAUGAGAGCUGAACAUCAGGAAAAGUCCGCCACAAAUGUUUUUCUUGGAGCCCCUAACUCUCAUGAAAAUCAUGCGGGCCGCCACGAAAAACAGCAUGACCAAAUGACAAAUUUCAUUUUCAUGUGUUCAUACCGCCAUGAAAAUGGUCAUUUUCAUGAGAGUUGAUGAAACAAAAAAUAGUGCCAUUUUCAUGAGAGUUCAAGCAACCAGGAAAAGACACUAAUAAACAUCCAGAUCCCAUCCAGCACACAUCCAUGCACAUAUAUAACCCACAUAUUGCUCCAGCACACAUCCAUGCAUAUACAAGAUCCAAAUGUUAAUAUAGUAGACAUCCAUGCCUGAACUAGUCUGCCACACAAGUCAUUGAUGCUACAAAUCCUACAAUCGCAGCAUGUGCAUACAAGUCACAGAAUGAGACAAUGUACCCAAAACUAAAAGGUUAGCAUCAACUGUGCUUCAACCAAAGUUGUCAUCCCAACUCUCCUCUUCAUCCAUGCCAUUCUUGUCGUGGCCGUCACUGUCAGUCCCCAUGGCAUUGCCAAUGCUGUGCAUGUCUUGGUAGGAACCUACAUGUGAUGAACUAGUAACCUGCAAAAAGAGCUCAAAGGAUCUUGUUCUCAUAUUGUAGCUGUGAAAUUCUUACAAGUAGUGUUGCAAUCAGUUCACUUUGAACCAAAAGAGCUCAAAGGAUCUUGUCCUAAAAGUUCCUCAUAAAGCUUAUGGGUUUGCUGGUGGAACUGGAAGGGCUUGAUGCAGCAGAUGCCAUUCUGCAAUAGAGAAAAAUUUAGAGAGCAGUACUAGUUAAAAUUGGAUGCAGAAGAUACACAUGAAACUAGUAUUUAUACAAGUCUAUACAAUUAAAAUCUAAGGAGACUUAUCAUCGUUUUCAUGUGUUGUGAAUUAAAAUAAUGAAGGAUACACUGUUAGGUGAAAAUUCAAGAAACAAAAUUUUGCAUAGAGAUAAAGGUCCAACAUUAUUACAAGUUAAGGUAGUUUUAAAUAUCCUUGUAAUCUUCCUUUGGUUUCCUCAACGAUUCGAAGACAAUAACCUUGCUUCUAUCAAUGAUAAUUAUAAGGAGAAUCCAGUGGAAACUGUGUAUUCGUAUUAGAACUACCUAAGGUUAAUUAGGUUAGGAAAGGAAAUUGAAAAUAGAUGGUACCCACACUUACUUAAAGUUGUCGGGCAAUAGUAUGUAAUGCUUGUAAUUCCGUUGCUCCAAGAAUUUGUAUAUGUGGUCCAAUGUAGACUUUGGUUGAUCCCGUAUCUGCUGUUGGUUAAAUAAGUGUUUCUAGCCAUUUCUAGCCAUUAGAACCGGGACUAAAGGGGGCUCUUUAGUACGGGUUGAUAUUACUAACCGGGAUUAAAGAGCCCCCAUUAGAGUUGGUUUUUGGAUGCGGAACUAACAACUCCUUUAGUCCUGAGUACGAAAACAACUGACAUAUUUGUUGCUGGAUGGAAGGUCCUUUCUCUACCGUGAAUAUUGCCAGAAAGAAUUGAAAGAGACUGCUUGCUAAAAAUAUGUCAUAGAUGUAGACCAAGCUACCAAGGAGGUAGACCAAACAUGAUACACACCAUGCGUACCUUGCUGUGCAGACUAUGCAUUGACAAGAUACCCGACCACAUGUUGGCCUCGGUCACAUCAAAAGAAUCAUGUAGGCCACCAAUAAACUACUUGAAGCGGCAUUCCGUAUCGUAUAUGCAUUGCCGGUUCAUCUGCAUUACAUUACAUAAAGCACUAUUAACUAUUUGAAUAAAAUGAACCAAUUUAAAAGUAAUGUGUUGUACUCUACUAUAGAAAGCCCUAUCACUGCCGGAUCCAAAAACAUCAUUGUUAAUGGUGGUUAAGUACCAAAUAUGACGGUCAAUAUUCUCAAGAAUAAUGGAGAAUUAGCAUUUCUUAGACACAUAUUUGGUUUUGAACAAUGUAGUUCCACAUGUCUUUGGAGAUUAUUUGGGUGUGGGUGAAAUAAUACAAAAAUAAGGAGAAAACACACUCCCAUGGCGAAGAAACACAACUCCAACCAAUGAGAGAUAGCCACAGGGGCAGCACACGGAUCCAUGGGCCCACUAACCGCAUCAAACCAUCUUACCAAGGCAGGUAGCACCCACAACCGUCAUUAGGACCCACCUGGAAGUCUACCAAGAAGAAGGUUGCGAGUGGGGCCAGGAGGGGUUCGGUUGAAUCAUCUCUAGCUAGCUCCCCUCAUCCCCAGCUGGUGGGUGGUGGUGGUUGAUGGUGUCCCUACAUCAGUUAGAGGAGAUUCCCCCAAAUAUUCCUCCUGUAAACCACCUCUAUGGACCUAUACAUAGAGGGGUGUGCUCUCCAUUCCAACACACACCACAAGUUGAAUCACUCUCUCCCUCUUUAGUUUCCAAGUUUAUGGAGUUAGGCUAGAGUAGCUCUGCUCAAGGUUCCAAGUCCACUUGGAGUUAAGCAUAUGUCUCUUGUAUCGUUAUUUCCUAAAUUGACUUUAUGCUUAGUUCUUAUAUGCAUGAGUUAGUCUAAUACCCUUGCUAUAUUGAUAUGCUCGGCUUAUAUGCUCGUAUGCUAGUCAUAUACCCUUGCUGUCGUAGUAUAGGCUUAUAUGCUCUCAUGUGUGCCUGUAGACCUUGCUAUAGUAUAUACUUGUUGUGCAUACAUACCAUGUAUAGGCUAGUCGAUCUAUACCAUGGCAUUGGUUCAAUAGCCAUGUUUUUGGUGGCUCCAACCCUAGUCACAAUAGCUCGGGACAGCUGGAGUGUUGUUAAAAAUGCAAGAGUGGUGCUUGGGUUGUUUAGCAUCGUUGGAUAUGGGUUUGCCCCACGGGUUUCUAACGGUAGGCGGCAGCUAGUGACAUCCCUGUCCGUCCUUCGUAAUCCCCCCACAUUCAGGUACGCCAUAAAUGUUCGUAAAUUAGCAGUAACUACGCCGGUACACCUGUAGGGUAUUGUCUCCCUGUAGUACCUUGGUGCAUAGAACUAAGUCCUAUACACUGUGUGUGUAUGUUUACGCUGAUAUGAUCUGUGCAGUAUAUAGGAUGUAUAUAUGAACCUAGAGCUAACUCCUAGUCCGUUCUCCAUAGCUUAGUUAUCUUGAGAUGAUUCUUCUGUAUGUGUAACACUACCCAUCUUAUCAUUAUCCUUGAUCCUGUCUUGUGUAAUAUAUCUACUCAUCCUAUGAUAUACUCAUAUGCAUAGUAAACUAUUUUGACCUACCCGCCUUCCUUUGGGAAAUAUGAUACCUUGGAAUAAUCCUAGGUGAAAUCCUACAACGGUAUAUCCAUGUAAAUGCGGAUUUAUUCAUGACCAUUAAAUAUACCAACAAUCAUCACUGUGAGUUUUGGGCGUCGUUAGUGAAGGGUUGGUAGUGAUGGGCAUCCCCUUCACCAAUGGACCUGGAACCGGCGGUGAUGGCUAUUAUAAAAAAGGGGACACCACCCAGCGUACCCCACGACCCGGCCGGCCGCACCUCCCAUCAUCCCCGCCAGCCGCCCUUCCUUUUCGCCGGCCGAGCAUGGUCCCGGCCUUUGUCCCUACCACCUCGCCUCCACCGCGACCCCCCGCCGAUGCCCUCGUGCCUGGCCCCCCUCAUCUUGCCGGCCACCCUCCCGAUGCGUCCACUGGGGCCCUCGCACCACCAACCGCCCUUGCUUAGAGAGGGAGAGAGAGGAGGGAGGUGAGGCCACGCACCUCGUCCUACACCGCCGCUGUUUCUCCUCGGCCCACCGCGCCUCACCCCACACCACAGCCGCGCCUUGCCAUCUUACCGGCUGUGACGCCUCAUCUCACCGGCCACCGUUCCUCACCCCCACUUCGGUCGUCGCCGCUCCUUGCCCUACCGCUGCUCUUUGCCGCUGCGAAUGAGCGCCGAGUGGAGGAGGAGGGAUGGGGCAGGAGGAGGGCAAGAUCCGGGAGGAAGGGAGAGAUCUCGGGAGGUGGAGAUGGAAGGAUAUGGCGGAAGGGAGAGAUCCAGAGGGAGAGAGCAGGGGAGAGAGGGGGGCGUGUGGGGAGAGAGCGCGUGUGGGGUGGGGCCGGGCUGGUGGGAUGGAAGGGAGAGGGGCUAGACGGGCGCAGUGCAUUCAACUGGAUGAAGUAAAUAUUUUGGAUUCGAGACCCCAGCUUUAUUAUCACCGCUGGUCCGUAGUACCAUCCGGUGCCUGCUCGUAAUUUAAUUUGAAUCUGCGGUGAUGUUUUAUUAUCACCAUCGGAUCAUAUAAAAAUCCGGCGGUUAAAAAUCCGCUGGUUUCGAUGAAAACCGACGGUGAUAGGAUGACUGUGAUAGUCUCUUCUCUAGUAGUGGUAUAUUAGUACCGGCUGCCGGAUGGUGUUGCCGACCAGUACUUCUCCGGGGGCGAUUCAGUACUGCUGUUAGCAAAGCUUGUUCUCUAUGAAUUUGGGGAUGGAAAGCUAGUUCUCUAGUUGUGAUUUGUUACAUAUAUAUCUAUGAUAGUCUAGAAAUUGCAUGUCCUUCGUUGACAUAGUUGAAGCUGCUUCAAGAAUUUACUUCGUGCAGUCGUGCAGCAUAUUGGAUUAUCACCUAGACAGGAUACAUAGGUGAAGCAUUGGAUGUGAUUGUGGCCGAUAAUUAUGCAGGACGCUGUUGCAAUCAACCACCAAGAAGUCUGGAGUGAUGGGGUUGCCUCAUCAAUAAUUUUUAUAUAUGGCUGCAGUAUUAUUAAGCCCACGUCAAUAAUUUUUUGUCCGCACCAUAUAUCGAUGGGGUUGCCUCAUCAAUAAUUCGCGCAACCAGACAAGCUGCAGACUCAAUAUGGUACGAAGCUAGUUGCUCAGCCCACAUGCUCUGAUAUAACAUUGACAUCUGCUGAUCUACAGUAUAUAUGACCAGAAAUAUUGUGCCCACCUCAAUAACUUUCUGAAGUAUCGUGGGGAAGAACCUACGCGUACUAUGCCUCGGAACUAACUGACAUAUCGGCCCAGGCGGUCUAGGCCGAUUGGACUGGCUCUUCCUUGUGGCUUCUCACAUCCCCUUCGUCCCCAAGUAAUUUCAGGUGUUCUGUAGUUUUCUUUUCACUUGCAUCUGAGCCUCCUAUAUCAAUAGCUUCGGGAUAAGAAUGCCUCUUGAUAACCUUCCAAAUCCUCGCUUGAUUCACAUUGAUUCCGAAAUCAUCUUGCCAUAUCUUCAGAGACUUAGGUCCUAAGGCAUCAUGGAGGAUUGCUCGCCAAGAAUGAGCACCAUUGGGCUCCUGAGGACCCUAGGCCGAUCAGCCCGGGCUCUAUAGGUCGAUUGGCCCAGGCCCUCUCUGGGCCUGUUGGCCUUCAUCUUUCUUUGAGUCGACGCUUAUUCAGGGCUUUGUCCAAUUAUAGUCCAUUAUAGUCUAAUUUCCUAAAAAACAGAAUGUCCUCCAAAAUACAAUGCAUAUGUGAAAACAACCCAAUUAUUAGGUAUGAUCAAUAGUUUAGGUAUUAAAUUAAUAUUAUUAUUUAAGAUAAACAGGGGUAAAGGGUGUCAUUAAUAACAAGCGCCAACAAGCGUCCUAGCUGUUCAAUAAAUUUUUUCUAGUACCGAUUGGUAACACUAACCGGUGCUAAUAUGUACCCUUUAUUACCGGUUAUUUUACCAGGUACUAAAGGAGACAAGAGCAUCCUAACAUAAGGUUAAUAUCAUCCAUUUCAUGAGUAAAAUACUAUGAUUCAAAAAUAAUUCAAAUCCCUUAAGACAAUACCUAUCAAAUGAGUAAAUUGUAAAUAGAGUAAUCUUGAUCAAACAAUGUCCUAAUGAAACGGAACACUUCUGGUUCGUGUAGAGCACAAUAUAGAAAACAGUAGGGUAGCUGUAUGAUUGACACGUGGUCCAUUAAUUAUUGAGCCAACACUAUGGACAUGUCUUCAUGAGUAGUGUACUAGUCAUAAUACAUGGUAUGCAGUAGGUGGAGGUAUUGACUUAGCCAUGCUAUGAGCACUUAGUUACAACAAACACUUUGCCAUUAUCGAGCAUCCCAAAUCACUACAAAAUCCAUAGUUUACCAUAUACUACAAAAUCUGAGUUAAAAUAAGAGCAUACACGGAAGAGUCCGAAUGCACGGCACAUUGAAUUACUAGACAAAAUUUAUGGGACAAGGUUUUGGGUAACCGCAUGAAAAAUAUUGGAUUUUACUGAACACUUAGUUACAAUUACCAUGCCCGUGAGCACUUAGUCACCACAAACAUUUAACCACUUUAGAUCAUCCUGAAUCCCUAUAAAUUCUAUACCUUACACCGUACCAUGAAAACGACAAGAACAGAGACAGAUGCGGUGAAAAUCUCCAGAGCAAGCCUGAAAUUAAAAUAAGAGGAGGCAGUCACUAUCGACAGGACACGGAGAUUGCUAGCCAUGACAGAGGAAGACAUGAUAUGAUAUUCACCUCUGAAAUGCAGCGUAGACUAAAUGAAGCACAAUUGCAAGUGAGUGUGGCAGAUAAUGGACCAUCGAGACCAUCGAAUGGUAUGAAGCAUGAUUAUCACCUAGACAUGAUAUCCUAGACAGGACGGUGAAUUGUAAAAAGAGUAAUCUUGAUCAAAGAAUGUCCUAAUGAAACGGAACAUUUUUGGUACGUGUAGAGCAAAAUAUAGAAAACAGUAGAGUAGUUGUACGAUUGAAACUGCAUCCAUCGACGUGGUGCAUGAAUUGUUGAGCCAACACUGUGGACAUGUCUUCAUGAACACCAUCUAGUGAGGACAGCAUGCAGAAAAAUAUAAAAACAUGUCAUAGGGAGGCAGACCAAUCUUGCGAGGUAGACGAAACGUGAUACACGAUCUGCCUACCUUGUCGUGUGGAUACCCCAAGUGAAGAUGUCAUAGAGGUGCAGACCAAGCUAGCAAGGAGGUAGAUGAAACGUGAUACACGGCCUGCCUACCUUGCCGUGGAUAUUAGUCCUGAUAUCAUUCUAUUGUUCAAGGAAUAACACUCAAUGCUGCUGCUGCUGCUGACCUGGCUCCAUAAAGUUAUAUUCCUCUAGCCGCUUGCACUAACUUUAUCUGAAGUAUUAUUCUCUCUGCACUGUAUAUAUGGUUACGGAGUUUGCUGGAGUAUCCGGGGGGAAGAACCUACAUAAUAUGUCUUGGAACUAACUGACAUUGAUUCACAGACAAGGUGCUGUUGUUGACAUGGUACAGUAAAUAAUAUAGUUUACCAUAUACCGUAUACCAUUAUAUGUUAGCUAAAAUAAGAGCAUAACAUGUCGCAGGAGUCCAAAAGCACCGGUUGAGGACCAGGUACAUUAAAUUACUAGAAAACAAAAGGGGACAAGGUUUAGGUAGCCACAUGAAAAACAUUUGAAUUUACUGUACCAUGAACACUUAGUUACCAUGCCGGGAGCACCUAGUUAACACUAACAUUUAGCCACUUUAGAUCAUCCCGAAACACCAAUGACCCUCAAUAGCGACAAAUUUUGGUUUAAAUGCCGUCACCAAUGAUCCUCAAUAGUGACGUGUUUAGGUUUAAAUCCCAUCACUAAUAACCCUUGGUAGUGACGUGUUUUGGUUUAAAUCUCAUCACCACUGAUCCUCACUAGUGACGUGUUUUUAGCAACACACGUUAUGAAUGACUUGUCAUUGGUGACAUGUUAAACGCGUUAUCUCAAUGGCAAAUCAAUGGUGACGUGUUUAAAAAAACAUGUCACUGUGAGAGUUAUUGGUGAAGGGUAAUUAAAAUGCAUCACUAAUUUUGUAGCAUUAGUUAUGAUAUAAUUUUGUAACGCAAAAAUCUACCAUAGUAAUGAGGUUUAGAGCCAUCACUAAUGUGGGUUUCUUAUCGUAGUGAUGCAAGCUCUACAAGGUGCUGUUGUUGCCAUUUUAAAGCAUCCCAAAUGACUACAAGAGUCCGGUUGAGGACUAAACAAAUUGAAUUACUAGAACCAAAUGUAUGUCCAGAACAAAGAAAGGGGUCAAGGUUUGGGUAACCGCAUUAAAAACAUUGAAUUUUACUGUACCAUGAACACUUAGUUACCAUUACCAUGCCUUGAGCACCUAGUUACCACAAACAUUAAUUUAGCCACUUUAGAGGUUCCACAAUCACUAUAAAUAAUAUACCAACACCGUACCAUGAAAACAUCAAGAAGAGAGACGGGUACAUGGACCACCAUCAAGUGAGUAGUGACAGCACGCACAAGAAUACCCGGAACCUUUUAGCUUGUCUGUAGUGAUCUGUUUUCUUCGCCACAAAUAAUGAAAGAGGCUGACCAAGCUAGCAACGAGGUAGAGCAAACGUGAUACACGUAGGUUUCAUUCAAGACAUCCAUGUAAGAUUCAUUCAAAACAUUCAUGGAAAUUUCUUGUAAGUUUUCAUGUAAAUUUCAUUCAAGACAUUUGUUAGAGGUGUUGUAUAUACACUUAACGUACAUAUAUCUAUGAUUUCAUGGUUGUUAGUGAUGGCAGAUGAGGAGCAUGCAAGGUGUUUAAUGGAGCAGAUUAUUGCUAGUGGUAGUGGCUCCAACCUGCCCGUAACGUACACCGACGAAGAGGGCAGCCAGGCGGACAUGUUCCUCAACAUGUCCGGUGAUGGCAAUGAAGAGCCCGAGCAAAACCUUGCCGUGACGGAAGGUUCCAUCGAGGUAUAUAUCAUUUCCAUUAUUUUACCCCAUCUAUAAUUUCAUAUUCAUUAUUACUAUGUGCUAAUUAAUGAAUCUUGAACCGUUAGUCCUCUAGAUCAACGAACCGAAAUAAGCCCCGAGGUCUUACAAAGAUAAUGCAGGGAAGGCUUCACAUCAUGGAAGUCACAGAAGAGGGCACAUCGGUUGCUCCCGAACAUGUGGCAAGAAAGUACGUGAGUCAAACCGGGGCAAUCGUAAGGGACAACAUGCCCAUCAGCAUCAGGGAAUGAAAGAGCAAUAGAAAUGAUCUAUACGCACCCCCGGAUACACAAAAGGAUAUGUUGUGGGCAAAUAUCAAGAAACACUUCACAUUUCCCAAAGGAUAUGUUGAAAAAUAUGUGAAAGCGUGGAUGUUGAAGAAGAUGGCCACCCAAUUCCAGACAUUCAAGAAGAUGUUGGAUGCCAACUUCAUCAAGAAGGGUCGAACUCCGGGUUUCAAUGAGUGGCCAAAGUUAAGGGACCACUGGGAGUCGUUUGUCGAAUACAAGACGAGCGAAGGUGGUGCGAGUAAGGUUCACAUCAAUGUUGCCAAUGCUAGCAAGGAGUACCAUCAUCAUCUAGGGCGACGUGGUUACAGCUCUGCAAUUCCCAGAUGGCGCAAGAUGGAACAAGACCUGAUCGAUCGGGGUAUCGUACCAGCAACUCUUGACUGGAUCGAUUGAAAAAUUGGUAUUAUGCUCAUGAAGGCAAUCUGAGCCAAGAGGAUCCGACAUUGGUCUUCAAUAAAACAAUACGUCAGAAGGUCGGAAGGCUUAUUAGGAACAUUGAAGAUGCUAAAGCUGGGAGGUUCAAGGUGGAUAGAGAGAAUGAUGAACUCACAUUGGCCCUCGGGACUGUCAUCUCUAGCACUUCCAGCUCCAGGACUAUCGUCACCACCGGGACCGUCGCUUCCUGCUCGAUCACAGUCUCCAUCUCCAGCACAUCCUGGUGGUGCGAGCGACGACGACAACAACACCCCUCCCUGCCCACCAUUGCCGGGACUAAGACCCGCAUUGAGUAAGGAACCUGCAACACCACUGAAGAAGUCGCGACCACCACCUUCAAGGCAAGUCAGCAAAAGAAGAAAGCAGAGAAGCCUAAACCCACUGAGAAGCCAGCGACUGAUAUGACCGAUGCGGAAAGAUGGAAGGCACUCAAAGAAGAAUGCAGGGAGUGGUUCAGCGAAGGCGAAGGUGAGAAAGUCGUAUGAAUCGAAUUCAAGGAUAUAUAUGAAGUGAACCAUCAGGAUGCCCUUGAUGUCUCUCUCAUCAGCGCCUAGGUUCUGUAAGUGUAUGUUUAUCUAUAAGUAAAUUUUGGCUCAUAUCAUUAUUUUUUUUGCGUGCGUCACCCUACUAACUUCGUCUUCCAUUUUAUGUAGGAUGCUAAUUCAGACGUGCCGCAUAGAAGCGUACUUCCAUGUUGGAUUCAUGGAUCCAUCCCUAGUUAACCAAAAGCCGAUACGGAAGUAGCUAGAGAAAACGUUGGAGGUGGUGUACAACCUCCUGGACAAACUAAACUACAGAAUAGGGGCAAUAUGUGAGGGUCUUGUAGGAUUCCUAGUGGACGAGGUGAUAAAUCCAUAAGGAGAAUAUCAUUCCAACGGACGAGCAUUAGACACACUGAGCAACACCUAGAUGGGAGGAUCCUAGGAAUGACCUCGACAGAUUUUGGUAUAAAUAGUAAUUGUGUAAAUACUAGUUUGAUUUGUAUAGGAAUAUACUAAGAAUUGUAUAUAUAGUAAUUGUACAAAUACUAGUUUGAUUUGUAUGAAUACUAGAUUGAUUUUAUUAUAAAAAAGUUUUAAGUCGUACGUGCAUGCGCCUACAAAGGCGCGGAUGCCUUUUAAUCCCAGUCGGAAAAACAAACUGGUACUAAAGGGGCUCGUGCCGCACCUGGCAUGACCACCCCUUUAGUCCCGGUUGAACGACCCAGGACUAAAGAUCUCCGCGUCUCAAAAAUUUUAUCUCGGAUGCUUUUUAGAGAGAUUUGAGGCCUAUCAACCAAGACUAAUAUCGAGUUUUCUACCAGUGAAACUAACUAACGUUCACAUGGUUUUGACAUUCACCUGCCAUUUGGUGUAGACAAGGGCACCCUAACAUAUGGUUAAUAUUAUUCUUGAAAGAAAAUCCUUUGAUUCAAAAUACUUCAAACCUAAUAAUACAAUACUUCUCACAUCUGAAAAAUAUGAGACGGCCCGACAGUAUUCUAAUCGACGCAAUAAUAUUUUGAGGGCAGCACUACUACAGCGACCCUCAUUCGUGCCGGUGCUGGGACUCCUAUCACGACCCUGAUACAAAUGAGGGUACAUUAUUGGUGCCAGUGCUAGAACAGCCACGAAUAACUUGCUAAACGUGCUGUUACACUCACUACAGGGACCAAGAAGGUAGAUAAAUUACACGACAUAGCCUUGGUUGCCGUGGAAGCGCCAAGAAGGGAGACAAAUUACAGGGACCACACCAUCAAGUAGAUAGUGACAAUAUGCAAAAGAAUACCCGCGCCUGUUAGCAUGUGAACUGACCACACCACGAAACGUGAUACACGGCAAGCGUACCAAGGCCUUGCUGUGCAGACUAUGCAUGGACAACACAUGGUACCUGACCGCUUUUGGCCUCAGACACAUCGAAAAACUGCAUCGUUCCACGUUGUACAUCCAUUGCUAGUUUAUCUAUAUUACAUAAUAUAUUAUUAGCUAUUUGAAUAGAAUGAACCAAUUAAAAAAUUGCGUUGUAUUUUUAGUACCGGCUGCAGGAUGGUGUUACCAACCAGUACUAAUUGGCCUGUAGGAGUGAUGGUUAUUAGACUUGGUACUGUUGUUAGCAUCAUUAACCUAAUUGUGCGCCGUAUGAAUUUGGGGAUGCAAAGCUAGCUCUCUAUGAAUGUGAGGGAUGGAAAGCUAGUUCUCUAGUAGUAAUUAUAUAUAUGACAGUCAAGAAAUCGAACACUAUGCUGCUACGAGUCACCAUCAUUUCCUUCAUUGACAAUCUGACAUAGGUGAAGCUGCUUCAAUAAUUUCCUUCGCGCAGUCGUGGAGCUUAUUGGAUUAUCACCAGGACGGGACACGGAAAUGGCCAGCAAUGAAGCUGAUUGCCGUCUGAGGAAGACUACAUACUUACCUAUGAAAUGAAGCGAUUGCAUAGACUAAUGAAGCAUUGCAUAUUUGCAUGUGAGUGUGGCAGAUAAUUCUGCAGGACAUGAUUGCAAUCCACGCACCAUCGAGAAGACUGGGGCGAUGGGGUUGCCUCAUCAAUAAUCACGUGGAUGCAUGCAUGCAUGUUCCCGCAACCGGACAAGGGUCUGAUAUAUGGCUAUAGUAUUACUGAGCCCACAUCAAUAAUUUCCACUGGUGUAUCGUGUGGGAAGAAUCAACAUACUACACCUCGAGUUCUUGGAACUAACUGACGUUCACAUGCAACCUCCACAAGGUGCUGUAUGCUUUUGACAUUCACCUGCCAGUUCGUGUAGAGAAGGACACCCUAACGUAUAGUUAAUAUUAUCCAUUUCAUGAGUAAAAUACUGUGAUUCAAAAAUACUUCAAAUCCCUUGAGACAAUACUUCUCACUUGACUAACCACUAACCAACCCCGAAACCCUAACUCAACUCCGAACCCUAACCCCUAACGGCAUAACCACUCCGUUUUGCCGGCGAGAUGGAGGAACUGGCUGGAAGGUAGAGAGGGCAGCGGUCCAGGGUUGAAAACGACGGGCGAGCGCAGUAACAUGUGGAGGAGGAAGUGCCACGUAUUCGUUCACCGCUAUUGGGCAGCGACACACGACACGCCCAAUAAGAUCUUCGCACGGUAGAAGGACGUCAUGUAUUCAAUAAUGUUAUUGGUCCCCCAUGUGCAGAAGGGCGCGCGCGUAUGGAAUAACAAGUAGGGACACUGCAACUAAUCUACUCUGCUCGUCCAGUCCCUAGCCUAUAAAUAGAUGCCAUGCUAGCUCUUGUUGUGCUCACAAUUAAUCCGAUUACACACGAGCUUCUCUCCCUGGCCAAGACACAACCAUAGUAUGAUGAAGAACAUGGCACUAGCCGGCAAUGGUAUGAAGAAGUUAAUCCUCGCUGUUCUCUUACUGUGUCUAGUUAUAGGGCAGAUACAAGUGGAAGCUAAGAGCUGCUGCCCAUCCACCACUGCAAGAAAUGUCUACAAUACCUGCCGUUUCACGGGUACAUCCCGUCCAACGUGUGCAAAACUGUCAGGCUGCAAAAUUAUCAGCGGGAACAAAUGCAAGCCCCCUAACGACCACCUCACCCUUGACCCGGACACUGGUAAAUAAUAAAUUUAUCUCACUUGAUUUCUUCGUGAUUUGAGUCGUUAAUGUAUUUUCCAUCUGAUGAAACGUAUUGGUUUUGCAUUGAAGAGGAAGUUAAUGUGCUUAACUUCUGCAAGUUGGGGUGUGCGUCGUCUGUGUGCAACAACAUCAACGCUGGUAAGCAACUUUUGCUCAGACAGAGAAAACAAUAAUCAUUAAUUAGCGGCAGCUAGAAUCCUAUAAUCUAAUAUAUAUAUAUAUAUAUAAUUUUAUCAGCUCUGGGAAAUGAAGAGGCGAACGAUGCCGUUGAGAGUUGCGACCAAGCCUGCUCUAGCUUCUGCAGCGUGCAUGUUGGCAGCGCCACCGUGGUUGCUUAAGCAAAUGCAUCCAACUAGAUCGUCCUUGUGCUGAAUAAUUGGAUAUCGUAUCCACUUAAAGCUGCCUUGUGUAGUACGUCUUUGUGUCUCUCUUUAUAUUCCAAUAAGGUCGGUGAUCUUGAUGCCACACACUCAGAUGUGUGUUCAUCUCCAGAUACUACUCCAUGCUACCUGCCCUUUGUGUUUUGUUCAAUAACUGGGUAUCAUAUCCCAGCCAGUAUGCCGUCUGUUUUGUGUUUGUUUCCUUCUAGUUCCAAAGGGGUCAUCAUGAUGUUACCUUCUUUCAAUAUGGUGCUUUGCAUGACUACUGUUGUAUGGUACCAUCUUGUGGCCAAUAAGUACAUCUUAUCCUAUGACCUUUGCUAUGACCCUUUGCAAAUAAGUAGAAGAUUGUUAUAAGCGUCAAUACUCCGUAUAAAUUGAUCGCUGCUGUGAGUUCCCUUUCAGCUUAUCGUAGGCAUACAUUAUUGCUAGCACGGUAAAGCCAACCAACACGAAUGAUGAAGUAAACGUAGCGGUACUUCUGUAUACCAACACCCUUACUUAAAUGUACCGGUGUCAUUCCCUACUGGCACAUAUAUUCUUAUAUGCUAGCCAGCUUGUAAAAUUAACCAAUUAAAAUAAUUAUUUCAAGAUAGAAAUAACUUAUCGGUUUCUGGAAGCAUGUGUAAUGUGAAUUCAAGGACUCGACGGAAGUUGAAUCACUUCAUCUAUAUUGCUUUCAGUAUUUUGGGUAACUAAAUUUAACAUUUGCACAUACAAAUGUUAAAGUACAAAUGUUAAAUCUAGUUACCCAAGCAGAAUAUGAAGAUAGUUUAUAGUAUAUAUAUACUAUAUAAAUCUAGUUAACAUUUAGUCUAAAUGUUAAAUCUAGUUACCUAAAAUCCUGAAAGCAAAAUGUAUAAAUAUAUAUCUUUUAAGGCAGUAUAAGCUUCGAUUCCUAUUGCUGCUCUGUUAAAUCUCAUCUUUCGUUGUGGCCCAACACUCUAGUAUGCAUGUUGCACCAAGCUUCUUUGAGCCGCUCUGCCCUCUGAUUUUGCUGCGUAGGGGAAUCUUUAUCAGGUUGGGCUACUUCCAGUUGUGCGAUGUAAAGAUUCGUAUUUUCUAGAAGGUAGACAAAAAACUCGCGUUCUCUUAAGGCAACAACCGGAAGAUUCUGCAGCGCACAGGGCAUACCAUUAUUGUAGAAACGACCUUUAGUACCGAUCUCCAACCCCCUUUAAAACUGGUUUUGCAACCGGUACCGUUAUGUCGGUCCUUUAGUACCAGAUCAAAUAAGUACCGGUUGGUAACCAGUAUCAACUUGUUUUGCGGCCAAAAAAAUAAAGAAAAAAACAGUCAGAAGGCUCGCACACACGCGCAUCACAUGAAAUAUGCGUGUGCGGGGUCCAUGGGAUUCGAACCCAUGAAAUCAAGCUGCACGCGACCCUUCGUUACCAUCUCACCUACAUAGCGCAUAUGCUUUCCUGAAGUAACCCGUGGAGGAGGCUUUAGUACCGGGUCAUAACACCACCCGGUACUAAAAAUGACUCUUCAGUACCGGGUCAUAACACCACCUGAUACUAGUAUCGGAUGGUGUAAUGACCCGAUACUAAAAGGCCUCUAGGGACCCUCAAAUUUGAACCCGGUACUAAUGCUAAUAUUAGUAGCGGGUCAAAGUGCAGCCAGAACUAAAGCAUGGGAUGAAAGGUCAUAUUUCUAGUAGUGUAUAGUUGUUGUGAAGGACUGACUUGGCUGUCCUCUCUCUUCUCCAUCCCCUUGGUCUUACGCCGCCGCUCGCACGCGAGCCGGUGCCCAACCAGAGGAGUGAGAGCUAGGGGCAGGUUGGGAGGUGGGGAUAGUGACUGGUGGCCAGGGUGAUGGUUGAUCCUGGUGGGGUUAGGGUUUCAGGGUUUUCGAGCUUCCUAUGGUCGGCGAACCUAGAGGAGAAGCUCAACAUCAGCUGCAACCCGCGAUGGUGGUGGUUUGGCCGGCGCCCGAGGCGAGGCAGCGCGGGAGUGCUGCCGGUGGGUUGGUGUUGGCACUCAUUAUUGACAACUAUUUUGUUCAUAAAAUAACACUCAAACUUGCUGCUGCUGCUGCUGCCAUCGCCACCCUAGCCAUAAUAUAAAGGCAAAAUUUGCUAAAGGACAUGCAAAAUGAUGCUAGUUUGCUGGCGGGCAUCGUUGACCUUGUAAUAUGCUACAAGACACUCUAGUUGUGUAUCAAUUUGCUGAAAGACAUUGCUAUGACUAAAAUAAUGUUUCUGGACUGAGUUGGAGAGAGAGAUGGAGUGAAAUGUCUGUUUUGCCCAUGACCCCACUGGUCAGAUCCUUCUUCUUCCACCCUCCUUUGUUCUUUCUUCAACCAUUACCCAGCUCCAGCGUGUUGCAGAUCUACGAGGGUGGCGGCCUGGGGCGAGGGGCAUCGCUCGCCCUUGGAGGAGCGCUGCGAGCGACGGCGCGGGGGCGGCAACAGCGCGUCAGAACCUGACUGUUCGUUAGCUCCUCUCGCUGCUGGGGAAGAAGGAGGGGGAUGGGCCAUGGACGGGGUUCCCUUGAAAACCUCAGCGUCGAGCUCGGGCGGCUACGCGCAGGCAGCACUAGGCUGCUUCACGGGGAGGGGGCGCGGCCAAUCAUUGGCACCCCACUGGUCCAAUGCUGAUGAAGAUGGUGCCAGCGUCGUGUGAGGACAUCUCAUCUCCUCGAGUUCCAUGGCCAGCACAGGUGAGCUGCCGCUACCACAAAACAGAGGUUUCGUGAGAGUCAAAAAACCUUAUGAAAAUAGCUAAAACCAUCAUGAAAAUAAUCCGUGACAUGACACUCUCACGAAAAUCCUCUCACAAAUAUGGUGCCAUGAAAAUACCAUUUUCAUGAGAGUGAACUGUCAUGAUUUUAUAAGCGUCAAUACUCGGUAUAAAUUGACUACUGCUGUGAGUUCCCUUUCAGCUUAUCGUAGGCAUACAUUAUUGCUAGCACGGUAAAGAGAACCAACACGAAUGAUGAAGUAAACGUAGCGGAACUUUUGUAUACCAACACCCUUACGUACCGGUGUCAUUCCCCACUGCCACAUAUAUUCUUAUAUGCUAACCAGCUUUGAAAAUUAAGCGAUUAAAAUAAUUAUUUCAAGAUAGAAAUAACUUAUCGGCUUCUCGAAGCUUGUGUAAUGUGAAUUCAAGGACUCGAUGGAAGUUGAAUCGCUUCAUCUAGAUUGCUUUCAGGAUUUUGGGUAACUAAAUUUAACAUUUGCACACACAAAUGUUAAUGUACAAAUGUUAAAUCUAGUUACCCAAGCAGAAUAUGAAGAUACUCUAUAGUAUAUAUGUACUAUAUAAAUCUAGUAAACAUUUAGUCUAAAUGUUAAAUCUAGUUACCUAAAAUCCUAAAAGCAAAAUGUAUAAAUAUAUAUCUUUUAAGGCAGUAUAAGCUUCAAUUCUCUGUUAAAUCUCAUCUUUCGUUGUGGCCCAACACUCUAGUAUGCAUGUUGCACCAAGCUUCUUUGAGCCGCUCUGCCCUCUGAUUUUGCUGCGUAGGGGAAUCUUUAUCAGGUUGGGCUACUUCCAGUUGUGCGAUGUAAAGCUUCGUAUCUUUUAGAAGGUAGACAAAAUACCCGCGUUCUGGAAGAUUCUGCAACGUGCACGUUGGCGCUGCCACCGUGGUUGCUUAAGCAAAUGCAUCCAACUGAAUCGUCCUUAAGCUGAAUAAUUGGAUAUGGUAUCCACUGCUUAAAGCUGCCAUGUUUAGUACGUCUUUGUUUUUCUCUCUUUAUAUUCCAAUAAGGUCGGUGAUCUUGAUGCCACACACUCAGAUGUGUGUUUAUCUCCAGAUACUACUCCAUGCUACCUACCCUUUGUGUUUUGUUCAAUAACUGGGUAUCAUAUCCUAGCCAGUGUGCCAUCUGUUUUGUGUUUGUUUCCUUCUAGUUCCAAAGGGGUCAUCAUGAUGUUACCUUCUUUUGAGGUGUCUAUGAUGACUUCGUUAAUAUCAAUAUUAACCAAUUCAAUCUGUCUUAACUAUUUGUAAGGGGUAUGAUGUAUGCAUGAUUAUAACAAUGAUUGCGCAUACAAUCGCCGCCAAAGAAACGGUCAAUACCAUUAAGACAUAUUACAGACAAUUCUCAUAAUCUAUAAUGAAUAUACAUAUUCACUACUGCAGAAGACUGUCAUUUGUAUCGGCUCAUACGUGCCAGGGCAAAGGUCACCCUUGCAUUAAGUACAUUUGCACGGUAAAGACAACCAACACGAAUAAUGAAGUAAACAUGCCGGUGCUUUUGUACACCAACACGCUUACUUAAAUGUACUGGUGUCAUUCCUCACCGGUAGCCGGCUUGAAAAUUAACCAAUUAGAACAAUUAUUUAUUGUAUCGGUGUGAUUUUUGACCUAUUGGAAUAUGAAUUUGACCGUUACUGCAUUCGUCAAGACUCAAGAGAGAAAUAACUGAUCGGCUUCUUAGAGCGUGUGCAAUGUGAAAUCAAGGACUGGAUGGAAGUUGAAGCGCUAGCACUAGUAGAGAAACGACUUUCCAUCCACCCCCUUUUGUCCCGGUUUAAAGUUGGCUCGGGAUAAAAGGUUCACCAACCGGGACUAAAACUCAGUCACUGGUGGGAGGCUCACCAACCGGAACCUUUUAUCCCGGUUGCAAAGGCUAAUGGGAAAAAAAGACUCUGAGAGGCCUUUUAUCCCGGUUUGAAACACCAACCGGGAUAAAAGACCCCCCUUUUAUCCCGGUUGGUAACACCAACCGAGAUAAAAGGGUCAAGAGCCUUUUAUCCCGGUUGGAAACACCAACCGGGAUAAAAGACCCCCUUUUAUCCCGGUUGGUGUUUCAAACCGGGAUAAAAGGGCCCCCACGAGGUGACUGGAAGGUGACUGGAAGGGGAUUAAAUCGUGGGGGACCCUUUUAUCCCGGUUGGAAACACCAACCGGGAUAAAAGGGGGUCUUUUAUCCCGGUUGGUGUUUCCAACCGGGAUAAAAGGGUCCCCCACGAGUUAAUACAAAAGGAUAGUAUCCCCUACAUAGUCAGAUGUGGUGUGUAGGUGGGAUGGUAAGGAAGCUACGCGCGAGCUCCGGAAUUUUUUUUUUUUUUUUUUGCAGCGUCGGCGCUCUCUACCCUUUUAUCCCGGUUGGUAUUACCAACCGGGAUAAAAGGGGGUCUUUUGUCCCGGUUGAGUGACCCGGGAUAAAAGACCCCCCCUUUUUUCCCCGGUUAGUUUAUCCCGGAUGCAUUUUCGGGAUAAAAGCACCCUACCAACCGGGAUUAAAGCUCACUUCUCUACCAGUGUAGCUUCAUCUUCCGCUGCAAGUUAAUUGCUUGGAUAAGAAGUUGUAGCCGCUGCAAGUUAUAAAUAGUCCCGCUGAUGCUGUGCUCCGAAGUCUAUACUAUAUAUGCGGAAACUAGAUUGCUUUCAGGAUUUUGGGUAACUAAAUUUAACAUUUGUACAUAAAAAUGUUAGUUUACGAAUGUUAAAUCUAGUUACCCAAGCAGAACAAGAAGAUAGUAUAUAGUAUAUACUAUAUAAAUCAAGUUAACAAUUAGUCUAAAUGUUAUAUCUACUUACCCAAAAUAUUGAAAGCAAAGAAAGAAUAAGUAUAUAUCUUUUGUUGGAAAAUUGGUCCACGGAGAGGCCCAUUUAGGCCUCGUUCGUUUCACCGGGAUGGGAUUCCAGUCAGGAUUACUUCCAAGUUCGGUUUGAGUGAUUCCACCCGUGUCACUCAAUCCGGCUAGGAUUCAUUCUAUGGGUGAGGAGGUAUGGUUUCAAUCCAGGCCAUCUAAUGUAGAAGGAUUCCAAUCCAGGCCGGUUUUCGUUCCAGGCCAGACUAAAACGAACAACACUUUCAAUGCAAGUCUGGUUUCAAACCGGGCCAUUUCAAACCACCCGGAAUGGACCUCGUUCCAGGCCAAUCCGGUGAAAACAAAUGAGGCCUUAAUGGAAUCCCAAAGCAAGAGUUCAGUGGCAUUCUAUAGUCCCAUGCUGCUAGUUUGAGUUGGUCGAAGCCAACUUAAAUAGGAGAGCUCUCUCACUUCUCUAAAUACGUAACUGAAGGAGAGAAGGGGGCUUGGGUUACACAACGCACGCACGCACGCAUAUUUGCGUUCUUUUCGCGUAACCAACCGCGUGACUUGAAACUUGCGACGUAGCGUGCUGCUAAGUCAAGUUGAUAUAACCUUUUUGCCGUUUGCAUGUAAUCUUUUGACAACGGUCAUUGGAGGUGAUAAGCACGCAGUCAAUACCUUAAUCUUGAGUUAAUAGGGUGGUUACUACUGCCAAUUAGUGGGGCAAUUUUGUAGGGGAAACGGUUAGCAGAGGGCUACCGUCUUCUCUAUAAGAAGUUCUGGAGACGUCCAGGAACACACAUGUACAUGUGAGAGACCCACAAAUUCCUUCCCUUCUCCCUUUUCCAUGUGGUGAAGUGUGCUGUGGUACUGAGCUGCUUGAUCUCGCCGCUCUUCUCCUUGGCAUGCACCGAGGAGGAGGGUGAGCGGUAUCUCCGAGCUAUUGCCGUCAGGAAGCCUGCACGAGGGACAACAAAAAGUUUUUGGGUAGCGCAACUGCCAGCACAACUCUCCCUCCGCCUCUUCUUCACGGUUGAUGGCCACCACAAGCAUAAACCUCGCCUUCGCAUCCACGCAAAAGGGUCGCUGGGGUGCCUUCUUGCAUCGCUUCUCAGCCUCCUUGACUUGCGGCCAGCCAAGAACUGCGCCACCACCUCGGGUGCACGCCACCACUCCAGGGCUGCUACCCCAUGCCUGCGGCCGCCGCCGGCCACCACGCGUGUGCAACCGCGUCGCACCGCUUCCUUGCUUUGUGCCACCACUGCUGCUGUACCACCAGCUCCACCACCUUGGGCUGGUCGCCAGAGUGACUGAUAACUUAUUAUCUGUAACUACUAUUAACUCAGGGAUACAUGCGUCUUUUGCUUCUCCUACUAAUAUGUCCUAAAAUAUCUAGGAUGCCUUAUAUUUCUGGACAGAGGAAGUAUUUGAAUAAAAUGAACCAAUUUAAAAAAAUGUGUUGUACACUACUACAGAAAGACCUAUCAGUGUCAAACCCAAAAAUGUUGUCACCGCCAGUUUUGGGCAUCAUUGGUGAAAGGUUGGCGGUGAUGGGCUUUCCCUUCAACAACGGCACUGGAGCCGACGGUGAUUGACAUUAGAAAACAAAAAAGGGGACCCUACCUAGCCACCCCUGCAACCCGGCCGGCCGUGCCUCCCCUCAUCCCCACCACCUCGCCUCCCCAUGACCCCCCGCCGGCGCCCUUGCGCCUAGCCCCCUCAACUGCCCAGCCGGCCACCCUCAUCACGAGAGAGAGGUGCAUGUUGUAUAAUUGCGUGAAUUUUUUAAUGUUUAAUUUCAUGUAAGUUCCGUGUAAUAAAUUGUACAAGUUUUAUUGUAUAUAUGAAUUCCAUAUAUAUAUAUAUAUAUUUAUAAUUUAAUGUAUGGUUUCAUGUGUAUAUUUCAAUCAUGUGUAUAUUUAGUAGAUUGCCGAUUUUCUUUUUCUACUAGACAAGGGUUGAUGUAUAAUUACGUGUAUAUGUUUAUUGUACGGGCAAUUAGGACAAGUUUUGUAUAAAUUUCUUUUAUUUGAUGGUUGUUGUAUGGUUUCAUGUAUAUACAUUUAUUGUACUACUUUAGACAAUUUUUAAUUUAAUGUUUCUAUGAUUAGAUGUGUGUAUAACUAAUUGUAUUAUUAGUUAAGAUGGGAGCUAAAGAGGAUGAAAGGUAUAUAAUGGAGCAGAUUAUUGCUAGCUCAAACGUUGCAAGAACCUACACCGAGGGUGAGGGUAGCUAGGUGGACAUGUACCUCAACAUGUCCAGUGAUGGCAAUGACGAUGAGGAGCACGAGCAUGACAUCUAUGAUAAUGCGGAACAAGACAUUGCAGAAUUGGAAGGUUCUAAUGAGGUGUGCUUCAUGUUGACAAUCUAGUUGGCUUUUUUUCGUUGGUCACACCUUAGUUACCAUAGAACUUCGUCUCGGGAGAAGAUUGGUGGUGGUAUGGUGAUUGGAAUUUUAUUUCCACGAAAUCUGAUUUCCAUCGAAUCAUAUCCCUUGUAUUUAUCUUCUUUUUAUUUGUGAGAGCAUCUUCUUUAUGCUUGCAAAACAAUUCAAGUGCACAUACUACCCCUAGGGUGACGAUUGGGAGUAGAAAUAAUUGCCAACAAAACAACACCACAUCCUAAGAUUCUUAACUUGUGGCAUAAUUAGUCUAGUAAAAAGAAAGAUAAAAACCUAAUGGGUGUAUGUGAGUGCAAUGUGUAUAUGCAUAUGAGUGGAAGGCAUAUAAGCAAAGACAAUAUUUACACAUAGUUCUAAACACCAUGUUUACAGCUAGGUUGCUGAAUUUCUCCAUAGCCAUAGAGAUUAAUUAACCAAGGUCAAAACACGAUGUCUAUCCCAAGAUCAGUAAUUAUUUAUAGCACAAGAAAAAGAAAGCGCAUUGCAAAGUUUAUAAACCAACCAAUACAGCAUGAAAACAAGAUGAAUAGCUAGCAAGGUUUAUUAAACUGAAUGAUGACGGUCUGUAAGCAAGUUUAAACACCAUCUUUACACAAGAUUGCAAAUGGAAAAUGCCCAUAUGAAGCACUAACAUGGAUAUGAAAUCAUUCAUCAUAAAGCGUAAAGAACAACCAAGCCAACCAUAUGCAAAGCAUGAAUGGAAUGCAAUGAAGGUGCAAGAGAACAUUUUUGGAUGAACACAUUAUGAUGAUGGCAAAAUGCAAUGCAUGCAGAAAAAAUAAAUAUGAACAUGAAUAUGAUGAUCAGGGGCGGACCCACUAUUGUGGCCUGGGUAUUCCUCGGCAUACCCAAUAUUUUUGGGAAAAUGUUUAGUAGUUUUUAAUGGCAUAUACAUGUAUAAUAUAGUUUAGGUGUUAAAAUUGAUAUUCACAGCUAUUUUGGGCUCCAAUUCGCGUCCAAACCAACCUGGCCCACAGACCGCACCCGGCCGCCCGGCCCAUCGGCCCAUCUUGUCACUGAUCCUCCCACCACCACACUCAGCCCGUCAGUUAGUCAGGUCCCGAGCUCCUGCCUGACCUAGUCCGCUACCACCGCCAGGCGCCAGGCACAGCUGUACACGCCGCCCCCGUCCACCCACGUCCGCCGCACGGCCGCGUCGCGCCCCCCCCCGGCGCCCGCUGCUGCCAGAACCCAUUAGGCCUCCACCGGCAAGUCCACCCACAGUCCCGCGCGACGCGGCAGCCUCUUGGCUCUCGGCGCUCGCGGCGCGCCAAUGCCUGCGCAGCCCCAGCAGGCGACUGCCCCCCCCCCCCCCGCAUCGGGCCUCGGCCCCUCCCCAGCUCCCCCUCCCCCCUCCACCAGGACUGCCUGCUGGCCCCCACCGCGAGGUAAUCGAAAUGGACUGCUCAAUCUCUCAAUCUGUUGACAUGAUGCACACGGUUGCAAAAAUAGAUGUGUCAAAAUAGAUGUAUUGCCAAUUGCUAUAGAUGCAUAUGGUUGACAUGAAGAAGUCAAAAAUGACAUUUGGUUCCUUGUAGGCAGUCAAAAAUGAAGAAGUCAAACAAUAUUGAUCUGAAAUCAAUGCGGGAAAGGGCUACGAAGACACACGGGUAGAUUCCCUUGUGAACUUUUUAUGUCGUUCGUCUAAAUAUAUUUUUGCAAUGGGCAUACCCUACUCUGAAAUCCUGGGUCCGCCACUGAUGAUGAUGGUCUAAACAUAAAACAAGCCUAGAUUAAUUAGCUACAACUGAAAUUAAGCAAAGGUUAAUGUCAUUGACCCUAGCUCUAUCCUAGCUUUUACUAAAGUCCCGGCACAUAUAGUGGUUGGGCCCACUCUCUCUACUUCCCUCUCUGCUGCAUGCACACACACGAGCAACUGGAGGCCCAACAAAGCCCAGAAGGGUUCGGCCGAACCCGUCCGAUCCAGUCUGAGCGCCGCUCCCUCCCAGCCUUCGCGCAGAUGCUCCUCCAACGUUCCUUGACCCCUCCCUCAGUGUCCCAUUGGGUUUAACAUUGUAGGAGAGGAGUCCCUUUUUUAAAAUCUCAACCACCUCCUCUCCUCAUUCACUCCACUCUCAUCUCCAUCAAACUCACCAAGAUCCACAUCGGAAAUACCUGCUUACCACCAUGGCUGGCAAAGCCCUCGUCCCUUUCACCAACUUGGGCUUGACCAUUGAUCUCGAUGGGAAAAUCACUCCAGCAAAUGUCAUUGUCCCUGUCGGCGAUCUGGCGAUGGAGGAGGUCCAGGCACUAGAGGUCGAGCCCCUAGCCAUCAUACCGCCCAAGGGGUAAAGCAGGAGCAUGACAGGCGCUGCUAGGGGUUCAGCCGAACUCCCAGUUCAGCCAAACGAGGACGGCGUCGCCUCGGCCUCCCGCUCGACUGCAUGCUUCCCCUUGCCAAGGAGGACUCCAGAACAGCGGGCGCGUGCGUCAAGUCCCUACAAAAGGCUGAAAUACAAUGAAUAUCCAGGGUCACCCUUGAAGAUGGGUGAACGCUACGCCGGGUCCUUGUUUGACUAGUACGGCGAUGCAUUCUGCCACCGCUAUGUCGUUGUCGAGAUUAGCGGAUCAAGACUUAGACUAGUAAAUUUCUUUUAUGCGCGUAAGGCUUCAGAUGGUGGCGUGGGAGACAUGGGUUUUAUACUAGUUCGGGCAAUGGAAUACCCUACGUCCAGUGUCUGGAGCUGCUUGUGUUGCCCACGCGGGGUUCUGUAGUAGGGGUUACAGGUGUGCGAGAGAGGGAGCUAAUCCCAGGUCUCUUAGGCGUGUUCCGGUCCUCUAGAUGGGAGAAGUGUGUUCUGUUUGCUUGGGAGUAUCGGUUGUGUCUGAGUUGUCUCCGGAGCCUCCUCCCGUCUCAGGUCCCCGAUUCUCCUUUCAUAGCACAAGGAGACCAUCGGGGUUACAGACGAGACCGAGCGUGGGGAGGAGUAAAGAGAUAAACAUAGCUAGGUAAAAAUACAACAAGAAAGGGGGGAACCAAGUUUCUAGGUCACCGGCGUCCUCGCCGGCCUUCGACUUCCGCCGGCGCAUUUGUCGGAGGAGGGUGGCCGCCAUCGCGUUCUGUCGAUGGCUUCCUCGGUGACUGUAGCCACCGGGCGUGAUGAUGGCAUUUCGUCGUGACCCUUUGUCUGUUGGGGGAGGCGGCGGAUCCUGCCAUUCUGCUGACGGCUCGCGGAGUGCGAACGUCGCAUCCCUGCCGCUGGGCACGCGGGGCGCGAGAACGUGCGAGGCUUCCCCCUACCCCAGGCGGCGCAGGCCAUGAGUGCCCUGUGGCAAAUCGGAGGAGGCCGCAGCUACUGUAGCUUGUACUGUGCAGCCACGUAUGGGUACUUGUGGCAGGUUGCGUGGUGGAUGCGGAUAUCCUUCUCCCUGACAGAUCUGCGGCGCAUUUAUGGCGAGAUCGACAUGGGGACCCACAAGACCCGCGCCCAAGGCGGAUACUUGUCUGGAGGGCCCGGGUUAGCCUGACCCCCUACGCUUGGGGUCGGGCGAGGCGGAGACUUGCGGCGGGGCGUCGGACGCUCCCGACACUAGACCUGCGGUCGCGCAAGGCGGAGCUUGGUCUUCCGGGGGUCGGGGGUGCCGGACCCCAGGAUGCGGGGUCGGGCGAGGUGGAGCGUAAUUCUUGCCUCCCAUGUUGGGCCGAUGGCAGUCUUUGUUACCUCUAGUGGGCUUGGGCCUUUAUGUUUUGUUGUUUCCAUGGGCUUCGAGAGGUCGUUAAUAUUUCCCCCCAACAGUAGCCCCCGAGCCUGUGGUGGAGUGGGGGCGCUCCUCCGGAGGCUACUAUCAUCGCCCCUAGGGAAUCCUCGCAGUUGAUCCGGGAUAGGAGGUGUUGUUUGCACGGCUUGACCGAGGGGGUCGAUUAGGCGACGCAUCCUGUGAGCGACUCGGUGCGGGAGGGUUUCUUGUUGUUCCCUUCUGUCUGAGAGCCUUAAGUCGAGACCACCUGCGUGGCCUUUGGUUGCAAGGCCAGCCCCCGAGCCCCCGCACGUUGCAGGGGACCGGUCGGAGGCUAGGUCGACUUUUGUUCAUUACCCUCAAGCGUCUGUUCGCUAGGACGGAGGGGGCGAGCCGUGCCAUGCUAUCCUCAUCGGACGAACCAUGGUGCUCAUUGAGUUACUAACGGGUUGAUUCGAGUGGGAUCCCGGUCCCCGUUCGGGGGGGGUCCGGCUUGGGCCAAGCUGGUGGCGUACCCCAGGCUCCGGUCGGCCAGUUCAUAUAGUUCCUGAGUCCGUUCGGUCGGACCGGGGGCUCAUUGCCUUUCUUCGGGGAAAAACCAUGAACUUUGAUGCCGGUCCAGACUCGAAUGUGAGAUUGAGACGCCCGGGGCUGUCGCGUGCCCGGGUGAUGGCCGCUAGCGGACCCGUCUCCUCUCACCCCUCACUCGGGGGUAUCCUGAGGCGGCUGUCGAACCCGUGGCGGGCCAGCCUUCGAACCUCUGGAUCGUAAUGGGCCGUAGGGGCGUUUUCAGCCCCGUAUCCCUUUUUACCUUUUGGUGGGCCUUGGGCCGAAUCAUGGAGGAGGUCGGGCCUUGGGCCGGAUGCGGAGGAUGUCGUGCCUUGGGCCGGAUGUGGGGGACGUCGUGCGUGUCUUCCGGGAGACGAAGUGGUGGAGGGUGCCAACCCGCGAAUCGAGGGAGGAGGGGAUGUUUCUACUGCAGGUCAUGCGCACGGUUUCCGAAAAGGCAGCGGGCGUGACGGGACGUACCUCGCGCCGCAUUUAUUGCGAUGGGGGCGUCUGUUCUGCUUCCCUCGUGCCUUCCCUAUAAAACGAGGACUUCGCCUCGCCGGUUCCGCCCGCCAUCUACCUUCAAGCCUUUUCGCCUCCUCGCGCGCCCUUAGCUUUCCUGUGCCCGCUUCGUCUUCCUCCGCCCAGUGCCGCGCCCUUUCUCCCCAUCCGCCGUCGAGUUCUUCUCCCUCCGGCGAUGGGAUCCUGGGCGCGUUCCCACUUCGGCCCCUCACGCGCCGAAGGCCUAGUGAGGAAAGGCCUCCUUUGCGAGAGGACGGAGACGGAUGAGUGGGGGUUCCCUGAGAUGGAAGAGGUGCCGACUCCGCCCACCGGCUACGUCGUUUCCUUUGCCCACUUCCACGAGAGGGGGUUUGCGACUCCGCCGAGCCUCUUCUUCCGCGGGCUUUUGUAUUACUACGGGCUUGAGCUGCAGCACCUCAACCCCAACGGGAUUCAGCACGUCGCGGCGUUCGUUGCGGUGUGCGAGGGGUUCCUGGGCAUUGAGCCCAACUUCUCGCUGUGGAAGUACUUCUUCACGGUCAGCCUAUACCAGAAGGCCGAGAAGAGGGGAAGCCAGCAGCGGUCGACCCCGGUGCCGAUAGGGUGCGUCGGAAUCCACCUCUGCCAUACUCGCGCCAAGGAGUAUAUCGCGAUGAAGACCGCGGCAUCCCACAAGGGGUGGCACCAGCAAUGGUUCUACGUGAAGAACUACUCCAACCCCCCCUGCCGGAGUUCACCGGCCGCAUUAUUGAAGCGGCGCCGGAGGUGUGGGUGUACGGCCCGGUGGAGAAGGAGAAGAAGCGGAUCACCGGCCUGCUGCAGGCCAUCGAGCACCUGAAGGAGAGGGGACUGACCGGAGCCGGAGUCAUCGGGGCGUACCACGCCCGGCGGGUGGCGCCGCUGAUGCUCCGGGUCCGCUCGCUCGCCGACAUGACCCCCGGUGCUCUCACCGAUGGCACUGUCCUCGCGACGGGUGCUCUCGCUGCCUCCGAGAUCCGGCAGCGGAUCCGGGAGGCGCUGGAGGACAAGGACGCCGAUUACCCGGUGCCCGGCCACCCUCCGAUGCGCCCGGACGAGAAUUUCAUUGAUCUGGUAAGGAUUUUGCGCGCCAGUUUCCCUCUCUUGCGUUUCUUGGUAUGCCGUUCUGACGCGAGGCCCUCUGUGUUUGCAGGGUAGCAUGACCCGGGUCGUCGACUUGCGUCCGCCAGUGUCGGAGGACGCCGAGUGGCGGUAGCAGAACCGUCUCCUUGCCGAGAAGCAAAAGUGACGCAAGGACAAGAGACAGCGAAGAAGAAGAAGAGGGCCGCCAAGGAGUUCCAGCGGCGGCGGUGGGGAUAGGUCGUGUCGGAUGACGAUGACGAUGAGAAGGAGGAGGAGGAUGACGAGGAGGAGGAGGAGUUUAUCCUGUCCCCCCGGUCAGGGGCGCUUGUUAUCCGGGAGCCGCGCUCCCAAGCGGCCAUGGGGGACAAGGCGGGCGAGCUGCCUGCCCGGACCCGAUCCUGCGAAGCUUUGGGGGCGCGCCCCAGGGGUCGGCGCAGAGCGCCCCCCGGGGGUCGACGGAGCCGACCCCCAUCCCUACACCUGCAGCCCAGGAGCAGAGGAGCAGCGACAAGCGGCCGUUGCCAGAUGCCCCGGGGUCGGCGUCCAGCUCAGAGGCGAAGCGCGCGCGCCGCCCUUGCGCUGGGGGAACGUGAGUUGAAUUUCCUUGCGAAUCUCGUUCCUUUCCAUGCAUUGUGUUUGUUUCCGCUGAUGCUGUUUGUUGUCUCACAGCACCGCCCCUCAAGGCCUUGUCCCGCCGUUGGCGCCAAAGAAGGCGUUGCGGUGUUGUCGCCUCUGCGGGGCGGACCGCGGCUCCGCCGGCGGCGAGUGGCGGGGUCACUGGUGAGACCGCGGGUCCUACCGCGGAGGUGGCCCCUGCGGCGGCAACCGGUGGAGUGGUGCCACCGCCGGGCAUGGGACAGGGUCUGGACCCCGCUCCGUCCUCCGCCUCUUCGGCCGACCCCGCGGUGCAGAGUAUCGCUCCUGGGGGCCCUCAGGCCGGGGAGGUGAUUGACCUCGACGCCGACGAGGUGGAGGAGACGGCGGCGGUGGAGACGGGGGCGGUUGCCCCAGCGGCCAUGACGGGGACGACGACGGCGACGGGGGAAGGAGAGUCUACCCCCGCGGCCACGGCGGGGACAGUGGCGACAGAGGAGGCGGGGACGCCCGCCCCGGCGGCUGCGACGGAGGAGGCGGCGGUGACGGAGACGGGGGCUUCCGCCCGGGAAGCCACAGCCGAGGUGGCAGCGGCGACGGAGGUGAAAGUGCCUGUUCUGGAGGCCACGGUGGGGGUGGGGACGCCUGCCUCGUGGCCACGACGGAGGGCGAGGCGGCCCCAGGGACACUUGCUCCGGCACCCGCGUUGGAGGCGGUGGCGCCGACGGGUUGGCCCGUGGCGGCCUCGACGGGGGCGGGGGUGCGUGCGCCGGGACCGUCGGUGAGGCCGGCGACUUCCGGGAUGGUGGUGCCCGUCUUGACGGCGGCGGCGGCGCGGUCGGCCCCCGCCCUUGCCUCUACCACUCCCAUUCCCAAGGCGUGGAGCGGAUCCGUCCUGCGUUGGUCGUCUCGUGACGACCCGCAGAGGCCCCUCUUCACGUUGGAUGAUGCCACAGAAUGGGGCAAGUGGCAGGCGCUGCAGGGCGGACUCGCUAACGUCCGCGCCGCUCUAUCUUCGGCGUUGGGGGAGCUGGACGGCGUCAUCUUCCCCGGUGGCCGGGUAUGGUGCUUUCUCCGUUGGUUAUUUUCUUCCCGUUACUUCGUCCCUGAUGGCACAUUGUUCUGCAGGCCCUCCAAGAAUGUAGCCGGGGAAAAUCUGAUUUCCUUUGGCUCGAGCAGGGGCUCUGGGAGCGCUUCAACUUGGAGUUGCAGCGGACCGGGGAGCUGACCAUGCAAGUCGCCACCGUCUAGCAUGUCAUCGACGAUCUGCGAAGGCACGAGCAGGCGGCACAGGAGGACGCGCGGCGGGCGGAGGCCAAGUUCCAGGUCGUUGCCGAAAGGGCUCGCUGCGACCGCGAGGAGUUCCAGGCCGUUGCCGAAAAGGCCCGCCACGACGCUGAGGAGCUCGCACGGCUGAAGGUGCAGCAUGAAGCUCUUCAGAAGAGCGGCAGAGGGCCUGGCAGGACCGGGACGCCGAGAAGGUCCGGAAGGAGGAGGCUGAGAAGGUGGCGGCCAACCUUGGGGCUGAGGUCAGCCAGCUCCAAGUGCAAGCGCGAGAGCUUCAGGCCUCCGUGGCCCAGGGGCUCGACCAGGAGCGCCAGCUGAAGGCCUAAUCCGAGGGUAUGACUCUGUUUAUUUCUUUGUCUUUGUGAUGUUGCGGUGAUAUUUUAUUUGGCGGGUUCUUCUGGAUGAUCCUUGCAGAUGAGCUCAACUGGCUGAGGGAGGUGCUUGACGCGGAGCGCGCUGAGCACGGCGACCUGCGGGACGCGGUCCGCGUCAUCUGUGACUUCCUUAGUGUGGUCCAGGGGGAGGGGACGAGCUCGCUGGCGGCUCGUGUCCUCGGGACGUACCGCCGGACCAGCGAGAUCGCCCUGGAAGCGCUUCGCACCGGCUUGAGGCAAGCCUUUGGGGUCUUCGGCUCCCACUAUUCCGGCAUCAACUUCGCCGGGAUGAGCGGGGGAUACGCCACCGGCUACUACGAGGCCGAGCUGGAUGAGAUCGACGUGUCGGUGCUCAGCCCGGCGGAGGCCUUGGUGAAGCUCCUCGAGGAUGAGGCCGUCCCGCCCGAAGAUCCCCGGACGAGUUAACUAUAUCGGGCUGGCGCCCCAGAUGUAAAUACGUUAGGGAAAGACUUGUUUUUUGUGAGGGCCGUAGAGGCCUUUUCUAUGAAUUGUCGUAAAAAAGUUUUUGAUUCCCUUUCUUGCUUUUUGGACUUGGAAAGUUUAGAGCACGUUGUCGGGCGUGUCAGUAAGCUUUGAUGAGCGAAGGCACCGUAGCCGCUGGGGCGUCGUUUUUUUUGCAGUCCGAUCAAUCUUGCCUGAACACCGUUCGUGCACUUUCUCCUUUUUAUGCCCAAAAGUUCAGAAAGAGGGUCGGCUCGGAAAGAGAAAGCGUUUUGAGAGGGUGUCAAGUGGCUUAGGUACUUGCGGCAGGUUGCGUGGUGGACGCGGAUAUCCUUCUCCCUGACAGAUCUGCGGCGCAUUUAUGGUGAGAUCAACAUGGGGACCCACAAGACCCGCGCCCAAGGCGGAUACUUGUCUGGAGGGCCCGGGUUAGCCCGACCCCCUACGCUUGGGGUCAGGCGAGGCGGAGACUUGCGGCGGGGGGUUGGACGCUCCUGACCCUAGACCUGCGGUCGGGCGAGGCGGAGCUUGGUCUUCCAGGGGUCGGGGGCGCCUUACCCCGGGAUGCGGGGUCGGGCGAGGCGGAGCGUAAUUCUUGCCUCCCAUGUUGGGCCGACGGCAAUCUUUGUUACCUUGGGUGGGCCUGGGCCUUUAUGUUUUGUUGUUUCCAUGGGCUUCGAGAGGUCGUUAAUAUUUCCCCCCAACACUAUGAGGAGGACUUGUGGGCAGAAAGUCAGCUACCACAAACUUGCCUCUGAAUAUUUGGAGUGCAAACAUUGGAUGGUGGUUGUGGAGAGCCCCAGCCAUACCUCGCACCCGUGGAGAGGUAAUUGUCGGAUUGCUUGGUUCGUCUCUAGAAUGCGACAAGGUCAGGCGCCACCUCUCACUGCUGCCAGUCAGAAGGCCGAGGGGCCAGUUUCAACAUAGUAAUGAGAAUCUCCGAAGGCCAAUAUGGUUAAGCAGCUAACCUCCAUGAUCAUAGACUUACGUUUAGAAAAUAGGAGGCUUAGCGAUGCGUUAACAGAGCAGAAGUUAGAAACAGAAGAACUUAAGGACGACUUCCGUGUCCUCCGCCUUGGUCUUUGUGCUAAGAUAAAGCGCUUGUACAAUGCCACGGGGAAUGACGGUCUCUACGAUGCAGCUCAAUAGACGUGCCCCUUGUAUCCUUUCCUUUAGGCACUUUAGAAUAUGUUUAUUUGUUUUCCUUCAUUUUAAUUUCCAAUAGAUUGUUAGCGCCUCCAAUUUAAUUUCAAUAAAGUGUAGACUCACCGGUCAUCCAACUUGAUGGAGUCCUUUUGUCACCUAGUUGUCUUUGGAAGAAGUAGCUGGGUACAAAAUAAGUGUGGGGGAGAGCCACAGACUCUCUAGAGCUGAAACAAUGCACAACACCCACAAAUAGAGAAAACCACGCUGCACCAGCACGUACGUGAAAGUGGAGCCAGAGCUGGACCCAUAGGGGUUUGGCCAACCCAAGGGGUGGCCCACUCGGGCCAUCUUCAUCCACCGCGUCGGUUUGUGUCUCUUUACCCCUGAUCUCCCUGAUUCAUGAGUUUGAAUGAAUUUUAAAUCUGAUCAACUAAUUCAAACUCAACUAAAAUGAAUCAACUGCUCCACCUGCUCUACAUGUUUUCUAUGGUUGGCUUGCAUAUGUUUUAUUUCAUGCUUAUCAUCUUGAUGCUUGUGAACAAAUAUCUUUAGGACAGCAUGCUCAUCUAAGUAGUUGAUGUGUAUGAUAUGGUUCGAUGAUAUGAUCUUCACUCUUAAUGCUUAAGUGCUUGGGAAAAUCUAUUUGAAAAUUUAAAAGCCUUUUUGAAAUCUCCUCUUUGAUGUGCCAAAGUCCUACCAAAGCCAUAUGAUAAGUUAUCUUGAAAAACCAUUUGCAUAUGUUGCUUGUCUUUGCAUUGAGCUUUGUCAAAUUGGUGUGACCCUUGUCACAAUUCUUUUCAUACUUUCAUGAUCAAGACUCAUGUGCACGCCAUAUACCCCUUGCUAUGCUUCUAUGAGAUGUUAGCAUUGUACCAUCCAUUCAUUCCACAAAAUAAAUGCUCCACCAUAUGUGUUGGUCUCCUUCUAAGAUUAUUGUUACAAAAGAGAUAUGGGCUAUCAAAAAAAAAUAUGAAUGUCCAAGAAAGUUGGACACAUGAAUGUCCAAUAAAAAGAAAAAGAAAGAUAGCCAUGUCCUCAGAAAUAUUUACAAAGGGAGAGAGAUCAUACAAAAAGGAGUUUCCAUUCCAUCCACCACAUCCAUACAUGUGCACAUCUUGAUCUGAUUGUAUGACUUAUUUUUCUCUUUGGAUCUGGUCUUUGACUUUGCAAUAUAUGUGAUGCAAGCAUGCCUUAUCCUUCAUAGCCUACCUUGAGCUCCACAUAUAGCCAUCAUUAGAAGUAGGAUGAAGAAAGGCAAGUCUAAUGCCUUGGUGAGGACAUAUACACAUUGAGUGAUCUGAGAGAAUCAAAUGAGGAGCUAAGCAAGGUUUUGUUUUGAAAACUAAUUGAAAAAUCCCAAGCUACUUGGCAUAAGGAGUUGAGGUGACUUGAUUCAAGACCAUUACAUUCCUCAACUACCCAAGAUGGCAUGAUAGACACUCCAAAGUUCACAAGUGCAGGUAUGGUUUGGAAUAUCUUUUAGGCUCGCUUCAUACCUUUGAAAGUUAUGUUUCACCUUAGUCCUUUCUCGUUCACUCAAGGAUAAGCAAAGGCUAAGUGUGGGGGUGUUGUUGAUGGCUCUUAAGUACAAAAUCUGCGCCAUCAACUCUUGCAUAAACACAUAAAAUAUGAGCAUCAACAAUAGUGGUAGGAGUUAUUACAAACGAAUUCCACAAGUCUUGGUGAAUAUUUGUAUGCAAGCCCAAUAGGAGAGAAAAGACACCUCAAAAGCAAGGAAACACACUCUCAACCAAUCAAGAGCAAGCACAUGGAACCAUGGGCCCACAACCAAAAGGAAAUCGACUACAUUCCAAACACCCUAUACCCACAUGAGAACCCAUAGGGCAGUGACCCAGAGCAAAGGUGAUGCCAGAGUGUAGAUGGUAGUUAGCAUGCCAAAUUUUGAACCGCAAGCGCUCGGAUUAGUUGUUUCUUUUCCCUUAGAGAUUCCCCCAAGGUUUAUCAAUCCAUGGAACAAGGGAUUUGCACGUUUCACUAAGCACUAAUCAAUGUAAUUGAAAGCUUUUCGAAUAAGAUAUGAUUAUGCUAACAAAGGAACUAAGCAAUCUAGAUUAAGAUGGAUAGAGAGUACAGGUUGUGAACAAGAUAGAUUAAACGCUUGUAGAUGCAAUCACCAUGCAUGAAUGAAUUAGAUCUAGGUGUUAUUGUGAGUGGUUGUGAACCAUGCCCAACACUUUCCCACCCGCAACAUUGUCACUACAUGUGGGUACUCAACUAUCGGAACAUAAGAACACAUCAAGAUGAUCAUUCUAGGUAAGCAAAUAAGCAACCCAAAGUAGCGCUGGCCAGCCUUUUCAUGAAAGAGCAUCAUCAAGAUAAGAUUGAUAACAAAAUAGAUCUCAACCAAAGGUUCAGCGAUUACAAAUCAAGAUCUUCGUAUAACCCCGAUGACAAAUAGAGGUAUUACCCCCAUGAUCUUACACAUGUUGAUGAAUUUUAGGGUAAAGGACACCCUGUAGAUCAACUGGACCAAAGAUGAUGAUGAACGGGGGCAGGGAAGGCCCAGGUUGAUCAGCCUGCGCACUUUUGAGCCGAUCAGCUCAGGGGGUUUCCUCCUCCCCUGGUGCUCCUCUUCGCGUGGCCUCCUCUGGAUCCAAUCUUCUCUUCAUUUCUCCUACUUGUGGCGGCAAUGGAUGGUGUUUGCAUGGUGAUUUCCUCUUCUCCCCAACUCUCCCUCCUUGAAGUCCAUGAGGGGGUAUUAAUAGUCUCCAAUAGGCGGCAGCUCUGGGUCAAUGUCAGUGAAAAAAUCCUAGAGAUCAUCGUACACUUCAUGCUGAGGAAACAAGAGGUUGACCGAGCCCUGGGAUAGACCAAGAGGAUCAUCCUAGAGGGUCCCAGGCUAAUCGGUCUAGGCCCUUCCUAGCCCUUCUAGUCCUCUCCUUCCUCGUGCUGGCUUUUCUCGAUGACCCUUGUCCAAAUAUCCAUGAAGCUCUAUAUACAUACCCCCUUGAUUAUGUUGUAUUUCCUGUCAAAAUACAAUGCUCCAAAAUACAACACAUAUGCAAUAAUAGGGUUAUUUCAGGUGCCAAUUGGUGGGUUAGUAUACGAAUAAGCAUGAAAAUACUGUUUAAAUGACACUAAAAGUGUGUCAAUAACGAGCACCAACAAUCCCCCCACGCUUAGAUCUUGCUCGUCCUCGAGCAAGUCUAGCGACUAAAAGAUCUUGAAUUAAACCUGAGCAAGCGAGUCAAGUACCUAGCCUUGAAACAAAAGAUUAGAGGAGCAGCAAAGAUAAUCAAAGUCUGGGUGUUCAAAGAUUUAUCUAAGCAAAGAUUCCCCUACAACUAUUAUUCAGAACCAAGUAACUUCAAAAAUCAACUACACUUAUUUUCUGGCUUUUUUCAGAGGGUUUUUCUUUCAUCAUAAAACAAUCUCCCUGCAACAAAAUUGAAAAAAGAAUUAUUUUCAAGGUGCUUACAUGUCGCUUAAAUGAAUGUUGGCUAUCCUACUUAUUUGCAAGCUCUCAUCUCUCAAAAUUCAUUCAAUUAUAUGGUGGAGUUUGGGUAAGGUUAGCUAGAAUCAACACGUAUAUUAUUGAAUUAAGAAAACCCUCUAACGGUGGCCUACCUUCCGAGCCAUUGAUCAUAAGAAUAUCCACAUAAUGUGAAGUUUUCAAGGAUGAGAAGAUAUAGAAUGGUGGACAUGUGCAAAGGCAAAGAAAUAUAGUGACUCUGAGGCACAAGCAAUGUCCUCGUCGUUGGAUUGCAUAUGGUUGUAAUGAAAAUAUGUUCCUUAAACAAGUCUAUCUUUUCUUUGCACCACUCUUGAUCUUCAUGACAGUAAAAACUCCUCCUUUAUUUCUUUCUCUCUUUUCCUAUUAUUUCUUUUUAUUUGUCUCAAUACUUUUAUUUCUUUAUUUCUUUAUUUUAAUCUCUUCUCUGAACCUCUUCUGAACACCACAUAAUAAAAAUAAGUUUUAGAUCCUUCCAGAGACCUUCCAGGAAUUUGCUACAUGAAAACCGAGGCAAGGAGACCCCAGGCCGAUUGGCCUAGCCACUCCUUUGCUCUCCUCUAGCUCUUCUUUCUGGUGAAGCUUCCUUAUCUUGUAUCUUUCCAAAAAUUUCAUAAAGCUCGACUAGAAACGGAACAGAUCUUCAUAUAAUGAGUUGUGUUCAAGGAAUUGGUAAUAAAAUUGAGAAAUUUGUGGUUCGGGUUUACGAAUUCAGUACAAAAAUAUGAUUGUUCCAAUGAAGAACUCUCAUUACUGAAUAUUGACGAGGCAAGCAUUCAAAGAUGGUAAAAAGGAUAUGAUCAAUUCUCAAAAUUAAAGCAAACCAAGAGAGAGCGAUCCUAAUUCAAUUCAAAGUGUCAAAUGUUGCUUAUGGUGGUAUGAAUAAAUAUUUUUAGGCAUUGGGUAGGAUAAAUAAAAACUCUCAACCUGGUUAAAAGAUAUUGAUCAAUCUUGUUUUUGCAGAGGUUUUAAAUAAAAAAUAAAAUUUUAAAUCACCUCCAAUUCAAAGCCUUACUCAUAAAUCAUAAUCAAAACUGAAGCACUUGAUCAUCAUAAAGCAUGGGUAUUGCAUAAACAAAUCGAUUACUAAAACUCCACAACUACGAUUUAGAAUUCAAGACAAUGCUCAUAAUCUAAAGUUGCAAAGAUAAAAUAAAAGACAACCAAGCCAAGGUAGACACUAAAAACACUUGCACGAUCCUUGAAUUUUAUUCAUGCUUCUUCUCACAAAGACGCUAAAGUAGCCAUGUAGGCCUAAGUCUUCCCAAAAGCUUAAGAAAACUACUACUUUAUCUACUUUUGGUUGAAAUAAAAAGACUAAUCUAGACUCUCACAUGAUUCGACUCGACCAAAUUAGAUCCAAAAACUCAUACGAGCGACGAUCUCCCCCCCCUCACGCUUAAAAUCUACGACCUCCUCGUCGUAGCCAUAUGGAGUACAAGGAAAAGAAGCUUGUAAACGCUCUAAUGACGCUACCCGCACUACUUGCACACGGGAUGGUUGCUGCUUCCUUCGCUUUGUUCUUCCUCAUGUUGCUGCACAUCCCGAAGAGCUUCCUCACGUUCCUCUGCAAGAACUUGAACUCGUCCUCCUGACGGCGAUCAUUAUCUUCUGCCUUUUGAUCCAGAGCUUGUAAGGCUUGCAUGAUGUCAUCGAACGCAUCGAAGAGGUAGUGGAUGUUCUUCCUGCAAGCUGUGGAACAUGUACGAUCAUGCUCCUCCGAUUCUGGCCCGUCGUCUUCUAGAUCCUUCUCUUUGCCCUUGUCUUGACGGUGGCUAUCUUGCUCCUUGCUCGCCUUCUUGCCUUCAGCCCAAUCCCAGUACGUGUUGUCAUCUUCUUCAUCGUCACGGCCUGCAGCACCCUAUGAUCCAUUGUCUAUCUUGUAUGAAAGAAUCAGAAGCUUGUUCUCCUCAGGGUGUCUUGCGCGGUGCAGCGUUUGCAAGUGCAAGACUUGCUAGUUCCUUUUACACAUUGUAAUGUUCAUUGCAUGCUCUAAUUGUUCUACAUUUGUAAUUUCUUGGUGAAGUUUGGUUACUGAUCCACUGUUUGAUUAACUCUUGGGCCCAAACACUGUACUACUUCUGAUUAGAUAUCUGUAUCUUGACUUUGACCAAAAAAAAUAUCCGGCAGUUUUUGCCAUUAAAGUUUCAUAAAUCAUCUUGCAAAAAUCGUACUAUACAACAAGGGACGGUUUAUUAUAAAAUAUACGUUCCCCUUAUCACAUGCCACUUCCACUCAAAAGGCAACGAAUCAGUUUUCAAUCCUGAGUGAGCAAUUUGCUUUUAUUACCGAUGCCUCCUAUUCCCUUGUGCACCAAGUUUAUUUUGGAUAGGGCUGCAAAAAACGACUAACCAGCUCGGAUUCUCCACCUGCAAAACCGCAUCUGCAGCAACCAACCCCACGCGGUGGAAAAAAAAACAAAACCUAGAAACCGGACGGGGGUGGAUGUGGGGCUCGGAGCCCAAGCAAAAAACGGAUCGGGAGCGCCGGAGCAGGCCAUCACCGGAUGUUAGAGAUAGAAAAUGGUUGAAGUUUGGAGUGGAAAUCAAACAAGCCUUGGAGCAAAGGAAAAAAAAAGAUCAAACCACUCAAGCAUUCAUUUGAUUUAGAAAAGAGAACAUUUGUUAAGGUGGGGAGUUGAAAUCAUCUUUUAAUUAGUUCCACGUAUCUGGUAUCAUUACAGUUGGUUUACUUGUGUAAGUAUAAGUAGCUCUGCCGAAGCCUUUGCUCCUAUAAUUUAGUAACUAGUACAAAUGGAUCAAUAGGAAAAUCAAGUUGCAAUCAUUUCUCAGCCAACCAAACCUAUGUAAAUCAAAUUAUUGUCCAUGCCCGGCAUGCACAGGUGCCUGCCAUGCAUGCAUUGUUGCUCCAUUGUAAUAACCAUUAUUGUCCAUCGAUGUUGCAGCGCAUGUGUGCACUGUGCAGACACCAAGCAUCGAGAUUAUGUACUAGUAAGGUGUUGAAAUAAUGGGCCUAGCCCAUAAGUAAUUUCAGAAUUUCAAAUAAAUCUCAAAGGCCCAUGUGGGCAAGAGGUGGAGUGGUGCAAGUCUUUAGUCCCACAUUGCUAGUCGAGGGGAGGGAUGACCAACUUAAAUAUGGAAGUUGUCUCCACUCCUCCAAGCUAUGUGUGAAGGGCGCGGGCGCGAGGCACUUGCGUGAAUGGUCCGCCGAAAUCUGGCCCCCCUUGCGGGGGCGCGGCUUCCUUUUGCCGUUUUAUUUUUUGGUUACUUGGUCGUUAAGUCAUGGAAUCCUAACCGGUUUAGAUCACGAUCGUGAAGGUUUUUGGGAAGCGCUCUGCGCGACUGCUCGAUCGCUUCUUCCGCUUCGUCAAGUUCUUCGUCGACUCCUUCACCACGGCUCGUCUACCUCUUCGUCGCUCGGGCCUCACUCGUCGUCGCGAACAACGUCAGGCUGCUGAUCGUCGUCGCCUGCUGUAUCCGGUAGUCGUCCAGGAGCCGGUUUUCAUCAAGAAAGAAACGUACGGUCUCUUAACUCACAUUAUGUCUUCCAUACUAGCUAUUAUGAUUGUUGCAGUCUGAUAGCUCUGGAUAGUAUGGUAGAAUGUCUGAUUCUAUUUGCAAUGAUAGACUUGUCUAGAUCUUGCGUAGACAUGUCUAGUUUAAUCUGCUGCUUGUUCAUCAUAUUCAUGAUUUAUUUCUGGAUUAAGUUAAAACUAAAAGUGCUUAUAUAUCCAACAUAAGGUACCAAGAACACGUGAAGCACCCGGGGGAGGCUGCUCCACUCCGCAUGCACAGGUGGGCACGGCACCACUACUCGUCUCCUUCAGGCUGAGGAUAAGUGAUGUACGCUGAUCAACAGACCACGACGGAACCAGCAAUAAUAGUUUCAGCCUGCCUCACAGUAAUUAAUAUAUCCUGUAUCCUCCGAGGACCCCUCCCCUUAAUCUUGGCCUAUUGCAUCCAAUAAUGAUAUGUGUGUUUAUCCAAAUUUACGGCACCUUUGGCGGGGGUUCCACCCAGCUCCGCCCUCUCCACCUUCGGUACUCCAUGGGAAACCAUUCCUUUGGAAUCAAGGAAGCUUGAACAGUAUAACGAAUAAAGUUUCAUAUAUCCAUUUGAUUUCACAUGAAAUAAAAUAUUCUGUCAGAACCAAUGGUUUCACUGAAGCUCCAGGCAGCGAGCGAAGGGGUGAGAGAGGAUAACGCUUACUGUGUGUUACCAUCGCGUGCACCAUGGAUGACCAACGCGCAGCCGAGAUGAAACGGCGGACCUAAACAGGUCCUCGCUAUUUUUGCAGGUUCUCGACCAGGCCAGUUCUUUAGGCCAACCUAUCAUUCACGAGUUAAACAUACGGUGGCUGGAGAAAUGUUCUAUUCUUUUAAACAAUACCAGCUGGUUCCUCCGUUUUUAUUCCACCAAUACAAGCACCACCUUGUAACAUUUCCUAUGUUUUUUUUCCUUUCGUCUGUUUUCUCACUACAUGCGUUGCUCUUUCAUGCAUUUUUUUCCAUUCCUGUAUUCCAAAUAGGUCUACAUGAACACAAAAUGAACUAGGGGACAGAAAAAGCCAGUGAAGUUAGUUUUGAGCUUCACCAGCUACUUGCUACAUAAAGUGUGCUAUAGUCGCAGAAAAGCUAAGCUGGAUCAGACGUGGCCGAAACAAUGCCAAAGAGCUAGGUCCCUAGCUGAUGGCAACACAUCAGAUGACUAGCCUGCUUUUCUGUAAUAAUGAUAUUGAGCAAUACACUGCAUGGCUAACCUGCUUUACAAUAAUUGUCAUUUUAUAAUAUUGGUCAUCACGAGAGAUGCACAUUGCAUACACCGGCCCAUCCCUAUAAAUAGCCAAGCCUUUCAGCCAUCUUGGGCACCUCCUCUCAGGGCCUCGUCUCACCAUCAGACAUCUCGUUCCCAGUUAUAAUUUGCGAGGUUAGAUCAGGCUGCGCCAUGGCGUCCGCAACUGCUGUCAAGAUCGUCGCCACCUUCAUGCUGGUGCUGACCAUGGGCCACCUGAUGGCCGAAGCAUCACCGCAGCCUCGGCGUGUGCUUGCAGAAACGGAGCAUGCUGCGGUGUCCGGGAAUCCUGGCCUCCCAGGUGAUGCUAGCGUCAUGCAGGUCCUCGAACCCGCCCUAGUUUCUCGGCUUGCCUGCAAACCAGAGUGCACAGUCCCUUGGCCUCCUUUUGUAUGUAUCUGCUAGAUCCUCUUCCUGGCUCAACGGAACUUCAGGGAAAUGGCUGUGACGUCGGCCAAAGAAUAAAUUGGAUGAACAUAAUAUACCCCGGGUAGUGUAGCUUGGGCUUUUGUUGAGCGUCUGGUGCUAGUUGUAUUUUGUUUGCUCAUGUGGCUUUGCUUCUGGUUGCAUAUUGGCUUUCCUAUCGCUCUCUGUUGCAGCUAUGGUUUCUGCCAGGUGUGUGUUAAUGCGGUUUGUAAGCGGUGCUUGUUCCUACCUUCUGUUUUCAAUAAAAGAAGUCGGAGUCUCCCUCCGACUCUUGUUAUCAGUCAACAAAAAUGAGUUGUAUCAUAUAUAUCUGCGUCUUUUUUCUACGUAUCUUUGGGCUGCUUCAGCUGGAAGUUUAUCGUAAGUACGUGUAUCAGGAUGAUCGUUUGAAUUAAAACGAAAUGAUAAUGUGUGGCUGCUAGAAAUGGAAUGAGCAUCUUACUAUAUUACUAAUUGGAAGCCUCCACGUGAAGCCACCUAGAAAUUCUAGGUGGACGUUUUAAAAAAAACAAAACUCAUAGAAGCCUCCACCACCUAGGAAUCCUAGGUGGACACUCUAAAAAGAGACAAAUCCUAGAAAUUCUAAAAAAAGAAAAAAAUAAUAACAAUAAGAUUUUUUUGCAGUCAAUUACAUAUAUUUUUUUGAGACACCGUGCUGCUAGCUCUUGCCAUUGCGACCAGUAAAGCAAGCAGAUAGUAAGAUGACAUGCGUGUGGAUUGAUUAAAACAAAUUCAGUUAGUUGAUUCUAAAUCGUAUGUAUCCUAAAAGGAAGAUAUGUGCGUGCAUGGUCCCUAGCGAUGACAUGUAGACAUGUAUUGCAAUUUCUUUUUUAAAAAACAUGUCUAUCUCUAAACCAACAAACAGAAAAAAUAUCAAUCUAAAUCUAAAUCUCUUCCGUUCUCACACGCCUAUUAAAGAGAAGACAACCAAUCCCAUCCAUGUUCCAUAGAAUCCAUCUAAAAGCUUGCUCACUGCGGACGGCAUUUGACGGCAAAUCAAUGAAAGAUCAUCCUCUCCAAAUAGCUGGACGGCAUCACCAUCUUUAUCUCACCAACCUACAGAGCUACAACGAUGUUGUAGAGAUCAACUAGGUAACCUACCAAUCACCCUCCCCUUUUCUAUAUGCUCUAAAGAACACGUGGAGUAAUUAUAGGCCUAUAGGAGCCGACUAACCUAGAUUAAUAUGAAAAAUAUUCCAAUAUUAAAAGCAAGCAGAUAGUAAUACUUGCCUUUGACCAUUUUUCUAGAACUGUUAUUCCUAUUGAAUGUUCAAGUGCUACGGCCAGGCAUCGAAUGCCUGCACGGAACCUUCCUAUUGAAUGGUUACUCUAGAGAUCAACGCACCGCGAGACAUUUUUAUGGAAUUUGUUUGAUUCCCCUUCUACAAUUAGAUUAAUUUUUCAUGGCAUAUAUUACUACUAUUAAAUUAUUUGUUUAUUGUCGGGCCUGCUGCAUGUGUGGUAUAUAUGACUUGCUUCUCACCAUUGUUCUCAAACUAUUAUUCCUAUCGAAUCUUUCUAUCGAAAUAUAUUUUAAUUACUUGAUUGUUGUUUGUGUACCAUAACUUCUGUAUAGAAAAAUUCCAUGUUUGUAGAUAAUGUCUUUUGUAUAGAAAAAUAGCCCAAUUAGAUCCAUCACCAUCUUUUGCUUAUGUAGUUGAACAAGUUGCAAUGUUGAACAAAACUUUAAGUGAAAUUAGACCAGGAAAAGGAAUUGUGGAACAUUAAGGCAAGGGUAACCAGAUUGUGGAAUGCAACCUUACUCAGUAGUGGCGAACAAUUAAGUCUUGACAUGAUCCUUAUUGAUCAAAAGGUAUGAUAGAUGUUCACUUUGAUUGCAUUAUUGGUAUAAUUUUUGGUUUACAAAUUAUUAAUGAUGAUGCAAAAUUAGGGAACCAUGAUCCACGGUGUUAUCAAUAAGCCCUAUAUGAAAAAGUUCAAACCAUUGAUUGAAGAAGGCAAUGUGUACAUAAUUGCAAAUGUCAGAAUCACACCAGAACCACAGAAGUAUCGGCCAGUGGAAAAUGACAGGAUAGUCAACUUCUUACCCACAACUGCACUAAAAACGAUCAAAGAUACUGAAGACAUUCCAAAGUAUAGUUUUAACUUCAUGAGCACGGAUAUGCUUUCAGCAAGAAUAAAUGUGGACAUGUACCUAUUAGGUAAAACAUUACUGGCUUUUCAAUUUUUACACUUCCACUCAUUAAAUGACCAUCUAAUAAUAAUACAUAUUUAUGUUUCAUAGAUGUUAUAGGUAUCUCAGCUCACAUUGGACCGAUAGAAGAAACAAGGACAAACUUCGGAUUUACUAAAAUCCGUGAUAUUGUGCUCCUGAUCGAGUAAUUCUCUUUUCUUUUGUAGAAAACAACUACAAAACUUUCAACAUUUACAUGUAUGUUAUAGAACUUCUGUUGAACUAAAAAAUAUCUUCUACAGUGCCCCUACAAAUAAUUAAUUUCGUAGUUGGAUAUUUAAAAUAUUUAUUAUUCACUUUUAAAUUUGUGGCCAUGAAGUUAAAGUUAGAUUUUGGGGAGACAAAGUUGAGGAAGUUGAUGAUAAGACAAAAUCCCAUGUCAUUGCAAUAACAUCUACAACUGUGAGUAAAUUUGGCAGUAAGUCUUCAUUCAAUAUGAGUUAUUCAAUAUUAGUCAUUCAACAAACUAACCUCGUAAGAAAAAUAAAUAAUUGAUGUUUUAUCAGGGUAUUCUCUAUCGUCAACCAAUGCAACAAAACUUUAUGUAGAUCUACCUAUUCCUGAAACUAAGGAUGCACAUGAUAGGUGAGAAAAAUUAGAUAUUGUUUUUCUAUUUUAAUCUAUGUAGCAUGCACUCUAACAUGAUACAUUCUUUCAUAUGAUAAAAAAAUGUUAGUUCAAUUGAAAAUAUUGUCAAAGAGAUUCAUAUUGAGGACCAUCUAAAAGGGACAUUGGAAGACCAAAUGCAGUACAAUAGAAGAACUUUAGAAGAAUUAAAUUUCAUAUUAUUUGAAACAUCAAAUCAGGUAUGGAUUAGUAUGUUCAUUGUACACUAUACUAUUUAAAGACUUACAUACAUAAUGAUGGUAUUGUUCCUACUUUCAGGAUGAGGUAUUUACUAUUGAAGCAACAAUAAAUGAAAUUAAUGCAACAUAUGGUUGGUUGUCACACCCGAUUUUAAGGACAAAAUUGAGUGCAUUAAAUACAUGUGCACCAGGAUCAAGUUACACACAUCCUAUGAGUACCGUCCUUCUUUGGCACAAAGAUAACCGGUGCUCCCCAUGGUGAUGAACUAGGCCGAAUAAACUAUUUUGCUGAUAAUUCCUCUAGUUGUUGUUUCAAUUCUUUUAAUUGUUCAACCAACAUUCUAUAAGGACGUUUGGAGAUAGGUGCAGUACCAGGUAAAAGAUCAAUAGCAAAUUCAAUGUCGCGGUCAGGUGGCAUACCUGGUAAAUCGUCGGGGAACACAUCCGGAUAGUCACACACCACUUUGAUAUCUUCCAAGGAUUUUCCAGCCAACUGAUUAACUGCACAAUCUGCUGCUGAGGGUAGAGUAGCUACAAACUCCACUUUCUCUCCAUCAGGACCUGUUAGCAGAACUGUCCUCUUGGCACACUGAAUCGUUGCAUCAAAAGCGGCUAACCACCUCAUCCCCAGAAUUACAUCGAUUCCACUGGACUCAAGGACGAUAAGAUCAGCCGGAAACUCUAUACCCAUUAUUCUCAGUUUAACUUGUGGACAGAUGUAUUGAGCCUUCAUUGACCCCCCAGGUGAACUCACUAGCAUAUGACGCCUCAUGGUAUGCAUGGGUAAAUUAUGCUUUGCUACAUAAUGACUAGUGACAAAAGAAUGCGAUGCUCCAGAGUCAAAUAAAACUGAUGCGGGGGCAGAGUUGACAAAGAACAUACCAAGCACUACAUCUGGAGCCUCCUUAGCAGUCUCGGCUUCCAUGUGGUUCACCUUGCCACAAACAAAGCUUUGCUGCCCCUGAUUGCCUUGUGGGGUCUGGUUCCCAUUCCUCGGUUGCUGCAUCUGAUUCUGCCGAGGAGCACUGCUGUUCUGCACGGGGGUAGCUGGCCCACCUCUCUUAGGACAAGAGCUGGCAUAGUGACCAACCUCGCCACACUUGAAGCAGGUAGGACCCACUGGAGCAUUGGGCCUUGUUGGAGUGCCAGUAGGGGUCAUCUGGCGGUUCUGCGUAAAGCUUGGGCGCGGAGUCUGCAUAGUCUGCAUCCCUGGAUGCUGGAACUGAGGGCUAGGGCGCUGGAAUGACUGCUGAGCAGGGCGCGGAAAUGAGUGCUGCCAAAAAUUCCCACUCGGGCCCCCUGCGCGGAACGGCGUCCCUUGCUGUGGAGCAAAGCGAGGGCGGGUGUUGCUUCCUGAAGACUACUGGGAAUUGAAUUUCCUCUUCAUCUCCCCGAGCUCGUUCCUCUUGUGUUCCAGGCCAAUUGCCUUGUCUAGCAUCUUCUGGAAACUGGGGAAGGUGUGCGACAUAAGCUGAUAUUGGAGUGGUCCAAUCAACCCAUCCAAGAAUAGCUCCUGCUUCUGCUCAUCAUCAGCAACAUCUUCGGGAGCAUAUCGGGACAACUGGACAAACUUGUCCCUGUACUCUGCCACUGUCAUGUUCCCCUGCUUGAGAGCAAGGAACUCCUUCUUCUUAAGCUUCAUCAAUCCGGAAGGAAUAUGAUGACUUCUGAAGCUAGUCCUGAAUUCAUCCCAGGUGAUGCCAUUAGCAUUGGCAUGGGUGGUGGUGUAAGCAUCCCACCAAUCAGCAGCUGGCCCUUCCAGGCGUCCUGAAGCAUACAGGACCUUCUCCCUGUCAGUACAUUGGGCGAUAUCCAGCAUCUUCUCCACUGUUUUCAGCCAAUCAUCAGCAUCUAAUGGAUCCGGAGAAUGUGAAAACGUCGGGGGCUUGUGGCUCAUGAACUCCCUAUGCCUGUCCCUUGGCGGCGGCUGCUGCUGGUUGUUGUUGUUGUUAUUGUUCAGCUGAGCUUGUAAAGCUGCCACGGUGUUGGUCAGUCCGGCGAGAAGCUGAGUCUGAGCUGCUAGAAACUGCUCCAUCCCUGCAGGUGCUUGUUGGUUCUGUUGCGGAGCGGUGUUGGGAUUGCUGCUGUUGUCCCUGUGGCGUGGCACUGUGGGACGGUCAACUCCUGAUCCGGACCUGGUGUUUACCAUCUGAGCGUUAGAGACAAUGGAUUUAGAUAGAUGUGUGAAAGAAUAACUGAGAAAGAUAAAGCGACCAGAUGUAAAAGUAACACAGAUUCUGUUAGCUCCAUUUAAUUAGGUGUGGUCGUCAGAAGAAGUGUCCAUAAAUUCUGAACAAUUACCAAGUCGUAACUUAUUAAAUUUGUAAACCAACCCAACUGGAAUCAUCUCAAUCGGACUUCUGGAUCUCGAGUUACAAAAUUAACAAGCUGACAGUGUCGGUCGAUAGGUUCAGAUUCUGAGUGCUUUACUAAUUCGCAUACACCUCCCAGACAGAUACACCAAAAAUUCUGAAAAAUUUACAGAUAGUACUCCACGAAAUUCUGAAACUAACCCCACUGGUUUCAUGUCAUUUGGACUUCUGUAGCUAGAGAUAUAAAUAAAAAAGUACUGGCGUGUCAGUUAAUGUCGAGAACAGAAUUGAAUGUCGCUUAGCUUGCGUGAUGGAUAGAUUUAGACAGAUGGUAGAUCAUGAUUAAGGAAGAUUAAAUACUGAUUUAGAACAGAAAUAAAACCCAACUAAGCACUUUAUUUAUUAAGACCAGUAUCGUGUGGCAAUUGCCCCACAUACCGCACUCAUUACAAAAUCCAACUCAAACAUGUAGCACAAAACCAAUCAUCUAAGCACACUUUAACUAACACACUCGAACGACGUCUAACGAUUACAAGAAUUUAAACUAAAACACUCCUAAUUUCCUAGAGGUCUUCUGCGGCGGUGCCGGGCGAGUCGUAGCGGGGACGCUUAGGCGACGGCGACGAAGCGGGAUGAACAGCAAACUCCUGCGGCGGCGGUGCUCCCGUCGCGGCAGCCAUAUUCGCAUCCCUCUCCCACCGGAGUUCCUGAACCUCCUGUUGAAGCUCCUGGAUGUGGUUGUUUGCUUCAUUCAAUGCGGUGAGAGCUGCCGACGUGUACUUGCGGAGGAAGUCUGUAGCCAUGUCAACCCCAUCGUUAGUAGCGAUGAAGGUUCUUGCUUCCCCACUAGCUCGGUAAGGAAGGAACCGAUGGUAAGUGUGCUGCAAUCGCGGCCGUUCCUUGUGGGAGACGACCUCAAGUGCCCUCCUGGCGGCCUCGGCAAUGCCGGAUUCCAUGGUCCUCCUUAUGGUCACAUCAUGGUGAAAAGCCUUCACCUCCCAUCCUCCCUCGUGCUCCUCACGAAGGACAACCUUCACCUCCCAAAAAGUGGGAUAGCGAGGGUGGGUGAACCGGGAGCACUUGUAGAGUGGCCUCAUGCCGUACCCCAAGCGGUGACAAGUCCACCUGAGUAUGUCGGCCAUGUGCACUCCUUGGCCAUAAUCUUCCUUCACCCAUUUGAUCCAUGUCUCGGGCUCGGGAUCUGCUUCGGGCUCAUCAUCCGUCAAGUCGACGACCGGUACGGGCGUCGGGGCUGGUGCAGGAGCGGGCGCCGGUGCUGGCGACGGUGCUGGUGACGGCGUGGUCUCCUGCUCCACGGUCACGGCGUCCCCGUCAGAGUCAUCCCCCGGAUGCUGGAAGAUCUCUUCCUCUUCUUCCUCGUCCCAAGGCUCCAUGGGGGCGUACGACGGCGCGAUGCCAUGACGCGGCGGACGGGUGCUCUUGCGUGCGGUCAACCGGGUGCGAGCCAUCUAACAGAAAGAAAGAAGAAAAUUUUAGAAUAAAAUUUUGAACAAAGCUAGAUAAUAAAAUAGCAAUAAGGAUGAGACAAAUCAAGUUUAAGAAUAAUUAAGUAGAUUUAAAUUAAGAAAGGUAGGAAUGGCUACUAGAUUAUUAUAAUCCUUAAAUACGACCAUUUUCUAACUAGGCUAACGUCCUACAGUCAACACGGCUCUGGUACCACUUUUGUCACACCCGAUUUUAAGGACAAAAUCGAGUGCAUUAAAUACAUGUGCGCCAGGAUCAAGUUACACACAUGUACGACAAUAGUGAAUAGUAAAGCCAGUGCUAAAUCGAAUAAAGAGAGUAUUAACCAUUAUUACAUGACCGAAUGUCUCAAAUAAACCACAAAGUCUAAUUAUUACGCAGCGGAACUCCAAAGAUGACGACGACUCCAUAGGCAGCUGACUGAAGAAACGUACGCCUAGAACUCCUCGAAGUCGUGGAAGUACUCCUCUUCCCAAUUAACUUGGUCUGAACAGCGGUUUUGCAAGGGUGAGUACACUUAUGGUUGGUACUCAACAAGUCGUGGGAAGUAGUGUAGUGUAAGGCUAAUUCAAGGUAUGGCUAAGGCGUAAAUAGCAUUCGCUUUUAAUUAAGUUGGUCAAAUUUUAUUAGCAUUUACUAAGUAUAAGUUCAUACCACCCGAAAUUAAACAUGAACAUAAAGUAAACCACAUGUGCAUGAAAUGAUAACAAAUUAAAUCCAUCUUCCGAUAAUAUUAUCAUGUGAGGGUCCAGGCCGCUCUUAACCGUGAGCACGGCUGAUUGAUCAGUUUAACACUCUGCAGAGGUGGCACAUCUUUACCCACAAGUCGCGUAAAAGUUCAAAAGAACUUUGGACCCAACCAUGCGGUGUUUGCAAGGCACCAUACCACACUUCCGAGGUGUGAUUGCAUAGGGACGCUACGAGGCCUUUACAAAGAUUCAUUAAUCAGUGGUAACCCGCUAAGGUUUCGGUGUCUGGCGUGCACCACCCAUCCCAGGUAAAAUGCAACGACUCAGUCCCCCCCCUUGAAUCAUCACGAGUAAGGUCACCCCAGACUAAGGUUUCUAAUUAAUCAGCCAAGACCAGAGCUAUUUAGUCUUGUGGUAGCACUGUUUUCCUGGGUGGUCGCUCCAUGUUCUGAUUAACAAAUAAUGAUCUUGUCUUAAUGAAAGGUAUAACAGAAAUAAGGCAAGAUUAAGCAUUGUUUUUAGUUAAACCACCAUGUACCAAGUAAGCACUAAGCAUGAGCUACCCAACAUAAAGUAAACCGGUUGGUCAAGGCAAAGGUAAAACAAUCUAGGCCAACCUUAAUUGGGACCCAUCAAUUUAAUCUUAAUAUGUGCACAGCAUAAAUGUUGAGUACGAGAAAGUAAAGGUGUAUAGGACAAAAAGGUAGUGAUCAAGGACACGACUUGCCUUCUUGGCCUUGCUCCUGCUGUUCGUACUCCUCGAAGGCUUGAUCGGCAACUCCCUCGAACUGCGGGGCGUCUACACGCAUCACACGAGCACAUACAAGCAAACAUGGGCAAAAGUAAGAAAACAGUAUACCAAACAUAGUCAAACAGAGAAAACAAGCUUGAAAAGAUGAUCUACGCUUUAAAACGAACACGCGGAUAUAAAGAACGCGAAAAACGGAGUUAAGAUGCAAAAGAUAUGAUUAAAACAAAAUCCAGGGACUUUUCUGUAAGAAAAACAAAACUUUUAGGGCCUAUCCGCGAAAACCGAGGGCUUAUACGUAAUUAUGCGUAUAAACCGAGGGUCUGAUGCGUAAAAACAUCAAACCCGGACGGCGGGUUGAUUUCUGGAAAGGUCAAGGGUUAAACCGAAAAAUGCGAGGGCAGAUCUGUAAAUACUUUCAACGCGAUCUGGACCGCGGGUUGAUUUGCGAAAAAGGCGGGGGCUAAAGUGCAAAAACUGCACGGCGCGGCUCGGUUGACCGGUACGCGAUCUUGAUUGACUCGCGUCCGGCCGUCGGAUUAAGAUCCGACGGUCGCGGUGAUCCGCGACAUCGCGGCGGCGGCGGCGAGCGGCGGCGAGCGGCGGCAAGCGGCGGCGGGUCGCCGGAGUUAGGCAAAAUAGCGCCACGAGGCACGGUUUAACGCGCGGGUUGCACCAAAAAAGAGAGGGGAACACGUCGAUCCCGUUUUGGGGGUUCUUGUCGACGGGGGCUCACCGGCGACGGCGAACGGCGGCGAGGAAGAGGCGGCGGCGCUAGGAGCUCGGGCGGCUAGGGUUUCGGGGAGCUGCGGCGCUGGUUUUGGGCGGAGGAGACUGGGAGGAGGCGGCGGCUUUUAUAGGGCUUGGAGAUAGAGCCGGCGCGGGUUCAAAUCCCCCGGAGGAGUCGGAGCGGAUGGAGUCCGGGGCGGAGACGGCGCGCGGCGGUUGCGGAGUUCUGACCGGAUUCGGCCGGAGGUGGGAGACGAUGGGUGGGGUCCACCCGUCAGUGGCGGAGGGGAGCGGUAGACGGGCCGGCGCGACCGUGGGCUGGCGCGCGCUCGUGGGCUGCGGGGAGCGGGAGAGAAGCGGCGAGCGGGCGCUGGCGGAGCAGGCCGAGCGGAGGUAGAGCUGGGCCGCGGAGAAAAAGGAGGAGGCCGGCGGGCUGCUUCGCAGGCCGGUAAGGAUGAGGCGGCCGGGCCGAAGAAGAAAAAGAAAAGGAGGGACAAGGAGCUUUCGGCCGAGGGAAAAGAAGAAGAAAAAGAAAAGGAAGAAGAAAAGGGAAAAGGUUUUGGAAUUUGAAUUUAAAUCUGAAAUUCAAAAUUUGAUUCAAACUCAAGCAACCAAAAAUUAUGCUCCAGCAUGAAUGCACAAAUAAUUCCUAUGAUGAAUUAAUUGAAUUAAAGAAAAUGAAUUUAAAUGCCUAGAAAUUAAAUAACACCCUAAUUUGAGCAAAUUUUAAUGAAUUUGAAUUAUUGAAAUUUUGGGUGUUACAUUGGUACUACAUCUCAUGUAGUAGAGGCGAUUGUAAGAAGCAACUUGAAAAGAAGUUUGAUCACUACUAUUGCAAUAAAUGUGACAAGAGAGCCGAACCUAAAGCCCAGUAAAUUAUUUAGUAGUUUACAAUCUUAUUAUAAUACUUCUAUUUCUAAUAGGAGAAUAAUAUUUUCAGAUUCAAAUUAAGCUUCAAAUAAGUGAUCCAACAACAAGUGCAACUUGUGUACUUUUGACAAGGAAGCAGAAAUGAUAAUUAAUGAAUGAGCAGAUUCGAUGAUCACCUCAGUUGAUCAUGAUAAUAAGUAGCUACCAAAAUCAAUUCAGGAAAUAUGUGAAGAAACAUUGAUUUCUCAAUUCAGAUUGACCGAGUACAACUUGACAAGUUUUAGACCUGAUUAUACUGUUUCAAAGAUAUUUUUUCCAAAAGAAAAGGGCAGUUCAAGAAUUGGUAUGGAAAGUGUAAAAAAGGUAACACUUUAUUAUUAAUUUUUUAUUGCACUUUUUUCUUUUGAAUCCGUAAUACUUAAUAAUUUUACUAUAUCAAUGAAACAAAUUCUAACCUAAAUUUAUUUUCUUUUUUAUUAUUUGUAGGAAGUAGAAGACAACUCAGACAAAUGCUACACGAUAACUACCGAGAAUGAAGAGGUAGACACUGAUGACUCUUUUACCGAGAAAGUAACAUUCGUAGAAGAAGCCAUAAGGACUGGGGAAAGAUUGGCUAGAAAAGUAUACUCACUUCCAUGUCAGUGUUCAUUCUAUUUACAAUACAUGCAAAAAAAAUAUUAUUCAUGCAAAAUUGCAGGUCUACUAAGCAUUAAAGGAAUAGCGGAUAGUGCAAUAUGUAAUCUGAGCAGCAUGCAUUACAAAGUGCUCUACUGCAAUUAAAUUAAAAAACAUGAUAUAUGUUGAAUUCUUAGACUUUAUUAUUAUACUUUUCUACGUGACAAUUCACAAUUUUUUAGAAAAAAGAAGAUCCCAGAAGAAGUGACCAUGAAAAAAGGUCUAUGACCAGCAAUAAGAAAAAAUGCAAGCAUAGAAACAAAUCCGUAGAAAACAUAGAAAAUAAGGUACUCCAUAAACAAAAGUAUUCUCUUAUAUUUUUAUUAAAUAUUUUUUUAACACUUGACAAGUUCUUUUUUAGGAUCAAUAUAUCAGCAAUUCAGAUGUCAUUGGAGAUGAAACCUUAGUUCAUCCAAAAGGUCAAAAAAAAACAUCUGAAGAAAGGUGUUUGGCUGAAAAGGAAAAGCAAAAAAGUGGUAAUGCAGACAAACACAUGCAGAAAAAUAUAAAAACAUGUCAUAGGGAGGCAGACCAAUCUUGCAAGGAGGUAUAGACGAAACGUGAUACACGACCUGCCUACCUUGUCGUGGAUACCCCAAGAAGAUGUCAUAGAGGUGCAGACCAAGCUAGCAAGGAGGUCGAAACGUGAUACACGGCCUGCCUACCUUGCCGUGGAUAUUAGCCCUGAGAUCAUUCUACUGUUCAAGGAAUAACACUCAAUGCUGCUGCUGCUGCUGACCUGGCUCCAUAAAGUUAUACUCCUCUAGGUGCUUGCACUAACUUUAUCUGAAGUAUUAUUCUCUCUGCACUGUAUAUAUGGUUAUGGAGUUUGCUGGAGUAUCCGGGGCGAAGAACCUACAUAAUACGUCUUGGAACUAAUUGACAUUGAUUCACAGACAAACUCUACAAGGUGCUGUUCUUGCCAUUUUAGAGCAUCCAAAGGACUAUAAAUAACAUAGUUUACCAUAUACCAUAUACCAUAUACCAUAAUAUGUUAGCUAAAAUAAGAGCAUACACAUGUUGCAGGAGUCCAAAAGCACCGGUUGAGGACCAGGUACAUUGAAUUACUAGAAAAAGACAGGGGACAAGGUUUAGGUAACCACAUGAAACAUUUGAAUUUAUUGUACUAUGAACACUUAGUUACCAUGCCAGGAGCACAUAGUUAACACUAACAUUUAGCCACUUUAGAUCAUCCCGAAUCACCAAUGACCCUCAAUAGUGACAAAUUUUGGUUUAAAUGCCAUCACCAAUGAUCCUCAAUAGUGACGUAUUUAGGUUUAAAUCCCGUCACUAAUAACCCUCAAUAGUGACCUGUUUUGGUUUAAAUCUCAUUACCACUGAUCCUCAAUAGUGAUGUGUUUUAGCAAAACAUGUUAUCAAUGACUUGUCAUUGGUGACGUGUUAAAACGCGUUAUCUCAAUGGCAAAUCAUUGGUGACGUGUUAUCUCAAUGUUAUCAAUGUUCUAUUCUUUUCAACAAUACCAGCUCGUUCCUCCGUUUUUAUUCCACCAAUACAAGCACCACCUUGUAACAUUUCCUAUGUUUUUUUUCCUUUUGUCUGUUUUCUCACUACAUGCGUUGCUCUUUCAUGCAUUUUUUUCCAUUCCUGUAUUCCAAAUAGGUCUACAUGAACACAAAAUGAACUAGGGGACAGAAAAAGCCAGUGAAGCCAAUUUUGAGCUUCACCAGCUACUUGCUACAUAAAGUGUGCUAUAGUGACGUGUUUUAGCAAAACAUGUUAUCAAUGACUUGUCAUUGGUGACGUGUUAAAACGCGUUAUCUCACUGGCAAAUCAUUGGUGACGUGUUUUAAAAAAACAUGUCACCGUGAGAGUCAUUGGUGAAGGGUAAUUAAAAUGCGUCACUAAUGUUGUAGCAUUAGUUAUGAUAAUUUAGUAACGCAAAAAUCUACCAUCAGUAUUGAGCUUUAGAGCCAUCGCUAAUGUGGGUUUCUUACAUAGUGAUGCAAGCUCUACAAGGUGCUGUUGCUGCCAUUUUAAAGCAUCCCAUGACUACAUGUUAAUAACAUAGUUUACCAUAUAUCAUAAAAAUAUUAGUUACAAUAAGCACAUACGCAUGUGGAAGAGUCCGAAUGCACCGGUUGAGGACUAAACACAUUGAAUUACUAGAACCAAAUGUAUGUUUAGAACAAAGACAGGGGUCAAGGUUUGGGUAACCGCAUUAAAAACAUUGGAUUUUACUGUACAUGAACACUUAGUUACCAUUACCAUGCCUUGAGCACCUAGUUACAACAAACAUUAAUUUAGCCACUUUAGAGCUUCCAGAAUCGCUAUAAAUAAUAUACCUACGCCGUACCAUGAAAACAUCAAGAAGAGAGACGGAUACAUGGACCACCAUCAAGCGAGUAGUGACAGCACGCACAAGAAUACCCGGAACCUGUUAGCUUGUCUGUAGUGAUCUGUUUUCUUCCCCAUAAAAUCCAUGAGUAUUGCCACAAAUAAUGAAAGAGGCUGACCAAGCUAGCAAGGAGGUAGAGCAAACGUGAUACACGGCCUGCCAAGAUUGCCCUGGAUACGCCAAUAAGAGCGACAGAUACAUGGAUCACACCAAUAUGGUGAAACGUAUAUUCAUCACACAAGCAAAGCUGGUCAGUUUAUCCAUGGUCAAAUUGUGGUCUUUGUUUUCACUUGAGAGCUAAUUGAGGCACUAUAAUAUGGGCAGGCCUAUCUUCAACAGACAUGACAGCUACAGGGAACUUGACAUAAUUUGCUGGGCCGCCUGUGCACAAUUAUUUGUUUUAUUGUCCUUGCAUAGAAUGCUAAAAUACUCUUUACAAAAUGUUGGAUCUAAUAUUUGAAAUAUAGAGUAGUAAUCAUAUAUUGAUCAACAACUUGAAAUUAUCUGUACAUUCUCGGUGAAGCUGUUGAACUAAUUUUUGCAAAUUAUUAAUUCAUCUCAUUACGUAAAGAAAAAAGUAAGUGGAUAAGAUAUUUCGUGGACCACAUCACUGCAAACAUGUCAUGGAGAGACAGACCAAGGAGGCAGGACGUGAUACACGACUUACCCUAGGUUGCCGUGGAACCGCCAAGAAGAGAUACAGAUACAUGGACCACACCAUCUUGGGAGUAGUGACAGCAUAUAUGCAGAAGAAUACCCCGUGCCUAUUUGCAUGCAUGUCUCAAGUGAUCUGUUUUCUUCAGAAAAUACAUGAGCAUUGCCAGAAAGAAUGGCAAGAGACAAACAUGUCAUAGAGACUUGCAUGUCUUGCCUUGGAUACGCCAAGAAGAGGGACACAUACAUGGAUAACACAAAUCUAGUGACACGUAUAUUCAUCACAAAGGCAAAUCUGAUAAUUUUAUCCAUGGAGCAGACCAAGGAGAAAUUGAUGACGGACAUGUGAUCUCUGUAUUCAGUUGAAAGCUAAUUGAGCUACACUAAUAUGAGCAGGACUAUAUUCAAGAGACUUGUUGAGAGCUACAGGGAACUUGUAAUAAUUUGCUGGGCGGCCUGCGCACAAUGAUUUGUUAUACAUAGUUGAAAUAUUUCAAGAAUUUAUCAACCUCAUACUCUGAAACCCUUGGUGCAAUGUACUCUGCUUUCCGAGGUAGACUGUUCACGUAAAAUGAGGUCAUGCGUAAGACGGAAUCGGAUUGGAUUCACAGGGAAUCAGAUUUGGAUAGCACCUUUUAGCAGGUUUUUAGUCAAAUGCAAAUUCGGAUCCACAUGUGGUUGAAUGCGAGUUCAAAAUUCUACUUGGAUAUCCAUUUAAUUUAGGUGAUAGCAAUUAGCACAAAAUGUUGGAUGAACAAAAUCAUAGUUAGACAUACAAUUACAUGUAUGGUUAAAGUAUAAUACAAUACACCAAGAUUAUUCCUUGAAAAUAUUUCUUAAAAAUAUUAUAAUAAAUGAAUAAAUAUAAUUGUGGCCACCAACAAAUAGUCGGUGGUCGCUAAGUUGGAGCCAUUUCUGGUUACUAAUGCGGCCUUCUCCUCGACCAGCGACGACAGCUGAGCUUGUUCCUUCUGACACUAAAUCAUCAGAGUCUUCCCUCCACUACUAUAGAAUGCACCUUUAGCACCAAUUGGGAAAUCCCCUUCAGUAUUGGAUGCUGCAACCAGUGCUAUAUAUCAAAAUGGAGACUAAAAGCCUCGGUCUUGGGUACCGGUUGCAUAACGCAUUACUAAAGGAGGCAAAAGAGAAAUGUAACAAAAAAAAUAUUUUGAAUUCCAAGAAUGUUUCACUAUUCAAGAUGACUAGCUGAGAGUCAACAGACAAGAUACUAGGAAUGUGGGUGCUUGAAUGCAUUUGUACAGAGGUCAUACUAUUUACAAACUCUUCUAUGUUUCCAUAUGACUACCUACUUCAAUGUCACGCGAGCCAUUCAGCUGGACACAUGGCACACUAGCUUGCAUGUCGAAUCCAUGAUUAAUUAUUUGCACUUGUGAUCUCUUACCAGUAUUUGUCCAGACUAGAAACGUGCAACACAUUUUUAGGAUAUGGACACGCAUAUAUUUGGACUAGUAUACAGGUCACCUUUGGAUGCGUACAAGGAUGACCGGGAGGGACUAAUGGAUACAAGGAAGGGACCAUCAGGAUUAAUAUUGACAUAUGCCACAUGACAAUCUUCAUUGUCAUGCAAUCCCUAUCAACAAUCAUGGAAUCCCUAGUGUACUAAUCCCUGGAGGGUUGUGUGGAAAUUUAUUUUACCUUGCGGUGAAAAUCUCAUGAGCAGUCAUUAGUUAAGCUGACUAGCUGAGAUAUAAUAGACAAGCUAGUAAGAUUGGGAGCAUCAAUGCAUCCAUACAGGGUCACAAUAUCCUUUCCAUUCACUUUUAUAUAUAACCCUACGAAUACAAGUCCAACGAAAUGCGGGCCUUUCGAUCAAGAUAAAUUAAAUGGCCCACUUGUAUUUCUAAUCCAGGAUUAACUAUGCCCUCUGUUCAUCUCUUGCAAGCACGUGCAACACAUUUUCACGAUAUGGACAUGCAUGGAGGUUAUUAUACUGUUUGGACAAACUCUGAUGUGCCAUGACCUAAAUGCUUAGGGCCUGUUUGGUUUGAGUUGCUUAUUAUAAGCAACUUAAAGUUGCUUAAAGUUGCUUAUUUGAAGUUGCUUAUUUUUAGUCUAAACUGUUUGGAUACCCUUGCUUAUGAGCAUUGAAUGAGUUGGACAUUGUCAAAUUUGCCCCAUGUGUUGCUACCCCUCCAAUUUGCCUCCCCACCCUUCUUCUUCCUGCACACGUCCGAUCCCGGGGGCCGACGGCGGGCAGGGAGCAGCAGCAGCUGGCCAGGGCGGCGGUGGGGCGGGAGCGGCGGCGCACACCAGCACGCGCUCGCACGCCAGGUGCUAGGGCGCGGCGAGGCAGUCGUCGUAGCCCACCGGGAGCGGGUGCUCGGGCGCGAGGCGGUACUCGACGGAGAUGCCGAGCGUCGGGCGCGCGGCGGCGAGCGCGUUGAGGAAGCGAUGGUAGUGCGGCGACGUCGCGGACUCCGCCACGAAGCCGCCGCCGUGGACGUACACCACCACGGGCAGCUUCGUCUUGCCGUCGGCGGCCGCGGCCGCGGCCUGGGGUGGCAGGUAGAGGCGGACGGAGCAGGAGCCGAGGUCGACGUCCCUGGAGUCGACGCCCGUGGCGGCGUCCAGGCUGGGCCCGACCGGCGGCGGCACGAGCGGGCGCUCGAUGCGGCCGCUCUUGUAAAUCCGACGGGUCUGUGCGGAGGCGGGCGGCGGGCGGGAGCGGCGGGUGGGAGCGGCGGCAGGUGGUGCGGAGGCCGGCGGCGGCGGGUGGCGCGGAGGAAGGGGAGCUGGUGAGUGGUGACAGGGGAGGGGGGGAGAGAGAGGGGGGGUAGGGUGCAUUGAAUGAGGGCAGGAGGUGUAAAGUGCACCUUUUAGUCCCCAUGAGCAACCAUAAGCAGCCCAAGAGUUGCUUAUUUGCUUAUAAUAAGCAACCUCAUAAGCAAGAGUGAUUGGUUUCAUAAGCAACUUAUUUGCUUAUUUUAAGUUGCUUAUGCAUAAGCAUGUGAAACCAAGCAGGUCCUUAACCUAUGGUUGUGGCACCACACAGUACAUAGUAUUUAAUAAUGCUAUUCGUUUGGUAUGUGCACAAGGGCACGCAUGAAAUGUCUGGCCCACGGUAAACAAGUACGGACGCUGCAAAUAAUCUACUCUGCUCGUCCAGUCCCUAGCCUAUAAAUAGAUGCCAUGCUAGCUCUUGUUGUGCUCACAAUUAAUCCUGACUACACACGAGCUUCUCUCCCUGGCCAAGACACAAUCAUAGUAUGAUGAAGAACAUGGCACUAGCCGGCAAUGGUAUGAAGAACUUAAUCCUCGCUGUUCUCUUACUGUGUCUAGUUAUAGGGCAGAUACAAGUGGAAGCUAAGAGCUGCUGCCCAUCCAUUACUGCAAGAAAUAUCUACAAUGCCUGCCGUAUCACGGGUACAUCCCGUCCAACGUGUGCAAAACUGUCAGGCUGCAAAAUUAUCAGCGGGGACAAAUGCAAGCCCCCUAACGACCACCUCACCCUUGACCCGGACACUGGUAAAUAAUAAAUUUAUCUCACUUGAUUUCUUCGUGUUUUGAGUCGUUAAUGUAUUUUCCAUCUGAUGAAACGUAUUGGUUUUGCAUUGAAGAGGAAGUUAAUGUGCUUAACUUCUGCAAGUUGGGGUGUGCGUCGUCUGUGUGCAACAACAUCAACGCUGGUAAGCACCUUUUGCUCAGACGGAGAAAACAAUAAUCAUUAAUUAGCGGCAGCUAGAAUCCUAUAAUCUAAUAUAUUUAUAUAUAUAUAUAAUUUUAUCAGCUCUGGGAAAUGAAGAGGCGAACGAUGCCGUUGAGAGUUGCGACCAAGCCUGCUCUAGCUUCUGCAACGUGCACGUUGGCGCUGCCACCGUGGUUGCUUAAGCAAAUGCAUCCAACUGGAUCGUCCUUGUGCUAAAUAAUUGGAUAUCGUAUCCACUUAAAGCUGCCUUGUGUAGUACGUUUUUGUUUGUGUCUCUCUUUAUAUUCCAAUAAGGUCGGUGAUCUUGAUGCCACACACUCAGACGUGUGUUCAUCUCCAGAUACUACUCCAUGCUACCUGCCCUUUGUGUUUUGUUCAAUAACUGGGUAUCAUAUCCCAGCCAGUGUGCCAUCUGUUUUGUGUUUAUUUCCUUCUAGUUUCAAAGGGGUUAUCAUGAUGUUACCUUCUUUCGAUAUGGUGCUUUGCAUGACUACUGUUGUAUGGUACCAUCUUGUUGGCCAAUAAAUACAUCUUAUCCUAUGACC
RNAcentral lists this long non-coding RNA (60009 nucleotides) under Setaria viridis. RNAcentral's name for it is "long non-coding RNA (SVIR_LNC007217)". The record is from RNAcentral. Lineage: Eukaryota; Viridiplantae; Streptophyta; Magnoliopsida; Poales; Poaceae.